RNAcentral lists this long non-coding RNA (71410 nucleotides) under Olea europaea (common olive). Its description in RNAcentral is "long non-coding RNA (OEUR_LNC004916)". Lineage: Eukaryota; Viridiplantae; Streptophyta; Magnoliopsida; Lamiales; Oleaceae. The record is from RNAcentral.
UCAAUAUUUUUGAGUUUAUACUAGAGGCACUCCCUUUUCCUUUGCUAUUUUCACCAACACUAAACUUAGAUUGAUUUUAUCAAAUUUAGCAUGCAUUAAAGAAUCCCUGCUAUUAGGUUUUAUAUUGUAAUUGGCGAUUUUGUGAACAAAGGGACUUAAUUGAACAUGUUGUAAAAGUCAGGGACUUGGGUUGCAAUUUGUGUAGAUGGUUUAGGCUAGGGUUGAAUUUGGAACAAGGUAGAAGACUCGUUGAAUUUUCACUAGCUGAUCGCCAAGUUGUUGCUCAAGUAGAUGAAGCAAAACCAUUGUAGCCCCCUUGUCAUCCCAAUGUCGCUACAGCGAAGAAGUUGUUGAUUUAUUCUAUUUAGAGUGUAGCUCGAGUGACAGUCACACGUGGCCAAACCCUAGGUUGUGAUUUGAAGAAUUUUACACUGCCCAUGACACCUAUUUGUCCCCAAGAAUAAAUAUAGAAGUCAUGGACGUGAUAAUGAAAGGUUGCUACACUGUGCUAACUUUGAAUACACUUUAUAUCAUCUUCUAGAGAUCCAAGACAUAAUUUAUUGGAGGAUUCAAUCAUACUCAUCUUGUGAUUCGGCAACCAACUUUUGGAGAAAACAUCAAGGUACAAUAAUCCAAAACAUCGUACUUCCUUAAUCCGUUGAGGAAUGAACUCUCUCAUUGGAGGAUUAAGAGAGGUGGAUUGAAGCACAGUUACAUGGACAAGAAUAGGUAGUUCUUGGUGUUCCACUUGGAAAGAGAGACAUUUAGCGCAAGAACAAGAGGCUGUAGGAGAUAGCAUAUUGGACUACUAGAGGUAGAUUAGGAAGUCUAGCAGGAGGCUAGAGAUAUCUAUGGUAGUAGAAGGCUACAAAAGGUGGAUCAGGAGGUCUAGCAGGCUAGAGGUGUCUACGGCAGUAAAUUGUAAGACUGUGACAGCGGGUCUUAGUGGGUACAAGUUGUGGAAUUGUUGUGUAUUCCCUAGACUGUCCAUAGUGGAGGUAAUUGGCUUAGUCUCGGAGUUUUUCCCACGUUGGGUUUAUCCAUCAUCAAAUUUUGUGUUCUUUAUUUUCCAACAAUUUAUUAUAAACUGUGGUAUUUAAACAAAGGGUUAAUUAAAUUGCAUGCUUAAUCAUUUACAAACUAAUUAAAAGUGAUGUGUUUGCUUUAAUUAGUCAAUUCUGCACGUAAGUUCGAACUAAUCAAUAAUCUAGAACUUAAACUUGGUAAUCUUAAAAUUUAAAGUAGUGUGUUGCGUCCCAGACUCAAGAACUCACAUAUACUCAUGUCUUUAUCUCUUGCAUUUUCCCCAUGAUUUAUAUACGGGGUUUGAACCAAAAUCUACAUAAAGAGAUUUCAUCCAAAAGUAUUAAUAGACAUUUUUUCGGAUCAAUUAUUGGCAUUCUUUGUGACUAACAGUUCAAUUAUUUGGCCCCAUUAAUUAACAUGACAUUCAUUAUGAGUGAUUAUUCUUAGUUUAUUGGUGCAAAAGCUCCUUAUUCUUUUGACCUAACGUAGAGUACCCCCAUGUUUUCUCAAAUUGGCUAAAAGCCGUUACAUAAGACCUUUAAGGUGCGAAAGACCACAUUUUCUCAAUAACAUUAUGAAAUGAUGAAUAUAUCUUCCUAUUUAUAUAAAACAAAGAGAAAAGAAGAAAAGAAAUAAAGAUCUAAUAUCAAUCGUAGUCCUAAAUUUUUUAAAAAAGUGCAACCAAGUCCUAAAAAUAAUUAAAAAAUAAAAAUAAAAAAUGUCUUUCUUUCCCACCUACCCUAUAUUCCUACCCCUGCCACCACUCUUUGGUCUUUUUUCUAAAUAAAAAUUCUUGUUAAGGUUUUUUUGACCCCCAUGUCGUAAUCCUACACAUCUCAGAGAGAUAAAUUAUAAAGAAAAGAAAAGGACUAUUGACACGACUCGUCCCGAAUCAUCUUAGUGAGAUCCAUCACCAAGGUAGAGUAUGAGUUACUACUAAAUAGGCCCUAAAUAAGAUGCUUAUGAAACAGUAUGCAAUGGGUCCAAAAUCAUUACUUCGUACUUAAUUAAAUUGAAUCAUAUUGCUCCAUAUGUCGUGUGGUUAUCACUUUGAAAUCAUCACGCUCUUUUAGCUAUAAAGAACCAAUUGCUACUACAGGAAAUAUUAUGAGAAAAUAUAUGAGUUGAUAGCUCAGUGAGUAAAGAAGUUCGAAAAUAAUUAUACUUUUACAUUUAUACAUUUUUAUCGAAAAUCAAGUUGACAUUAUUUAAUAGUUUACAUUAUAAAGACAUAUAAUAAUAAUAAUAAUAAUAAUAAUAAUAAUAAUAAUAAUAAUAAUUGAGAUAUGAUAUACCUCAAAACACUGAAAAAUAUUAUCUCACAGUUAUGAUAUAAUGUAAUACAUUAAUUUAAUAAAUAAAUAAAAAGAAAGAAAAGAAAAGUCAAACAUGUCAUACCAAAAAAAAAAAAAAAUUAAAAAGUAUUGGUAUGCGGUAUAUCAAUCCACCUAUCAUUCAAAUCCAUUCAAAACACUCACAACCCACCAAAAAGCCAAGAGCAGGGAGAAAAAGAAGAGAAAAGAUGAAGGAAAAAAAAAGGAAAGGAAAGGAAGAAAAAAAUAGGAAAGUCCGCCUAUGUUAUUAGAAAAUAAGUGCUUCCUACUAGUAAGCUUGAAUUCUUCAAUUUAAAGGUAAGUAAAAAGUUACUUAUUGCGUAGUUAUGUUUAAUUUUAUAGUUUUUAAAUUGUUAGUUUAAAUUCAAUUUAUUGAAAGGGAACUAUUGAAUUAAGUAGAAUGAGCUAUACAAUUAAGUUAAGUGAAAGAAAAUUUAACUUAAAUGAUUAAAGGAACUUUAGAAAUCGCUUAAGAGUGAAAGAAUUAAGUUUGGGUAUCGCCUAUUUAAUUAUUGAAAUUUCUUAAAAUAGUUAAUUGUUGAUUUAAAAAUUAUAUUAUAUUUCAGGGCGAUAUGGAUAUUAGGGCAGCUUACCAACCGAGUUGAUUUUGGCGUAGAUAGUUCUGUGAAUGCAAAAAUUUAUAUAUUUUCAAAUAUUAAUAAGGCACUUAUACUAUUAUAUUACGUGCGAUUAUGUGAAUUAUUUGUUCAAUUACAUGAUUAAUAUGGAAAAGUUCUUUCACUAUGAUAUAUUUGGCAUUUAAAGUUUGGAUAUGGAUUAUUUGUGAAUUGAAAUGCACGAUAGAUGUGAUUUUGAGAUCGACCAGAAAAGUACUCAUAUUAUAUAUUUUUUCUAGUUCAUUGAGAGACUUUGACUGUGUUUUAUACUACACGGAGGGGUGGACCGUGGAUGAAGGGGUCUUGAUCGUGCAUAUAUAAUUUACAAAGGAACUUUGGCCAUGUUUUAGAAUGGAUUAUCAGAGGUCUUGAGACCGUCUUUUGUUUAUGGAAGGGCCAAGGGCUCGUGACGAAAGUUCGUUACUCGAGGGAUGAAUUACAGAUUUUAGUAAUAGGGUACAUUUUUGGUUGAUUUUUCAGUAUAUUUGAUAUGACGAUAGUAUACUAUAGGUAUUAGUUGAUGUUUAUAGCUUGACUUUGAGAUGAUAUUUUGUGACGUUAUGUGAAUGUAUCACAUUUUGGCUAUAAUUAUCUUGCGAGUUAUUCAAUUAUAUGAACUCGAUUUUUGAUGAAAAUGUAAAAUUGAAAAAGUAUAAUUAUUUUCAAACUUCUCCACUCACUGAGCUAUCAAUUCAUAUAUUUUCCCAUAAUUCUUCCUACGGUUAGCAUUUGAUUGUUUUUAGCUGAAAGAGCCUAAUGAUUUCGGAAUGAGUGCCAUACGACAUGUUGAGUGUUAUAACUCAUAUUGAUGAAGUACGAAAUAGAUAAUUUGGGCCCAUCUCAUUAUAUUUUGUAUAGCAUUGGAUUUUGGCGCAUUUUUUUAUAGUAACUCAUAGUCAGCCUUGGUGAUAUAUUUGACUUCUAGUCAACAUCUAUCAUCGGUGCACGUCAUGUUUUGGAUCCACUCGGAUGAUUCAGGACGGGUCAUAUCAUAUAAUCAUCGACUUAAUUCCAUAUCAUUAUCUCUUCACAUCAUAUGUAAUUUACCAAGUAUAUACUUUCUGAUUGAAAUAUGUAAUCUAUCCCUCAGGGCUAAGCACCAUCUCCACGGUGCGUGAACGAAAGUGGCUCUUAAAGACUUUUGAUUAUCAAUUAUAGAAUAUGGCCAAGGUUCCUCUGUGAACUAUAUGUGCAUGAUUGAGACAAAUGUCCGAUCAAGACCCUUCCGUGUAUUAUAGAACACGGCUAAGAUCUAUCUGUUAACUAGAAAAAGUAUAUAAUCACGAAUACUUUUUUUGGUCGAUCUCAAUAUCACAUGUCUCACAUUACAAUUCACAAGUAAUCAAUACACAAUAUUUAUGAUUUCACAUAAAAAGAUAAUGAAAGAACCUAUCAUAAUAAUCAUGUACAUCUCCAAGAAUUUAAACAUAAUAGCACAUAAUAUAAUAUUAUAAUUAUUCAUCAAUAUUUGAAAAUACUUAAGUUUUUCCAUUCACCAAGUUGUAGAUCGACGUGACUUCAAUCUUCUCAUCACCCUCUCACAUUCAAAUACAAAGCAUGACAUCUUGCACUUGUCCAAAGAUAUCAUAUCUCUUCACCAAGGUGCCUUAAUCAUUUUCCCACCAUUAGAAAUAAUAGUUUACCAAUAGGAACUUAGACGUCUUUAAUUUUUAAUCUCAUAAUCCCAAUUAGGGUUACUAACAACAUAUACUCCUUUAUAUACAUUAUUUUGACACCUAAUCCCCAAUAUUUAACACAUAAUUUCGUUUUCAUAUUAAACAAUCCAAGAAAAUCAAAAGAUUGUCAAAAACAGUACUGCAUUUCUAGAAUAUUGAUAUUUAGCACAAAUUUCUGUGUAUGGGAAAUUGUCUUUGAAGAUUUUGACAAAAAUAGCACUUUUUGGCUGAAUUUCAAAAGUAGCAACGAUGUAUUAACUUGCUUGAAAUUAGCCUAAAAUUUCUUGAAUAAUUGAGAAACUAAACCUCAAAUUUUUAAUCAAGUGAUUGAUAUCAUAUAACUACAACAAUUUUAAAGAUUGAAUCUAUAAUUUACAAACCCAUUUCAUAUUUAUUUGACUUCACCAUGAAUCUUCUAAUAUACAUUUCUCUCUGUAUUAAUAUUCUUAAAUACCUCAAAUACAUCUUAAUAACCUCUAAUGCUUGCUAAACUUCUGAAAUAAACCAAUUUUCCAUGAACCAUAAAAUCAAAUUGAAGCAAAUCUGUUCCUCACCUCUAAAACCGAGAAAUCGAACACCCUAGCUUAUUAGUGUUGCCAUCCUUUUGUUACUUUUCUUCUCCCCUUCUUUUUCUUUCUCUCUAUUCUUCCCUGUUUGUUUUUCUUUAUUCUCCAAAUAGAAAUAAUGGGUCCAAUGAGAGUUAAGUGGGUAUGUAUCACAAAUUUGCAAAAGAAGUCCCUUAACUUCUUAUAAUGUAACUUUUAGCCCCUUCCAUUCUCAUAUUAGAAACCAAAUCCUUGAAUUCUAUUUUAUUUUAUCUAUAGCCCUUAAGUAAUUGUAAUUAGAAAUUAAGUCCUUAUUUGAAUUUGACUUUGACUAAAUAUUUUCUUAACUUUGACUAUAAUGAAUAGUGUGCAACAAAAUAAUGGGUCCAAUGAGAGUUAAGUGGGUAUGUAUCACAAAUUUGCAAAAGAAGUCCCUUAACUUCUUAUAAUGUAACUUUUAGCCCCUUCCAUUCUCAUAUUAGAAACCAAAUCCUUGAAUUCUAUUUGAUUUUAUCUAUAGCCCUUAAGUAAUUGUAAUUAGAAAUUAAGUGCUAUGAAAAUGAUUUAUUUAAGUCCUUAUUUGAAUUUGACUUUGACUAAAUAUUUUCUUAACUUUGACUAUAAUGAAUAGUGUGCAACAACUUCAGAGGGAAAGAAAGAGAGCGGCAUUGAAUAAAACAGAGUUAUGGUGGACAACAUGGGAGUGGUGGCACCUCUUCAGAACUGGAUUCUAGAAGAUGAUCUCUUGCUUAAAAAUGACGUUGAGGUACAAAUCUUUAAGGUAGAUUUGGUUUUGUUCAAGAUUUCUUCUUCUUUUUCUUGGUGAUGUUGGUUUUCUACGUGGGUGCAUUUAUUGGAAAAUAAUUCUAGGUUCUUCAUUUAUUUUGAGAUUAUUUAAAUUUAAAAUGGAAAAAUCAAGUCUAAUUUUAAAAUGCAAUUGGGUUUCUUUGUAUUGAUUUAACUAGUAUUCCGAUUUUUCCCUAUAUUCUGAUAGAGGGUAUUGGAAUUGAUUUAUGCAAUUAUUUAAUAGUGGUGGUGGUGAAACGGAUUUUAAUUUUAAUUUUUAAUUUGGGACUCAUUUAUACUUAUUAUGAAAAAGUUAGGACUACAGUUCAAAUUAGAUCUUUAUUCUUUCGUCUUUUCUUUUUGUAUUAUUGAAAUAGGAUGAUAUAUUUUUCAUUUCACACGGCUUUAUUUAGGAAAUGAAAAAUGGAUAUUCCUCACCUCAGUGGUCAUAUAGAGGGCUUUUAGCCAAUUUGAAAAGAUAGGGGGUCUUUUGUAAUAGGUUCAUAAGAUAAAGGGUGUUUGUACCAAAAAGCCAUUAUUCUUGAAUUUCUUUUUCAUAUACUUUUCAAGAAAAGGCAAAACAGUAAAUUAAUGGAUAAAAAAGAAGAAGAAAUGUAGAGGAAUGGAUUAGAGACAUUGCCACAGAAGCAAAAAACAUUAUCGACUCAAAUUCUUUUUCCUUGAGCAUUUUCAAGCAAUGAGAAAUCAUUCAAAUAGUGCACGACUCUUUCUUUGACCUAAGGAAAUUUGAAUAUCCUUUUUAUCCCUACCGUUUGCUUCGGCAAAUCAAAAAAUGUUGCGGAUAUCCUGAACUUUGACUGAAAAUUUUCGAAAAGGAAGAGCAUGAGGACGUGUAUGAGAGUGUGGAUUCAAAACAAUGAAUGAGAAAUGGAAGUAGUGUGCAUGAGAUAUGCACUAAACAUGCACUUGAUGUUCACAUCCCAUAAAUUUUGGUGGCCCGUAUACAUAUACAGGUAUUAAAUUCUGAGUUAAUAGAAGUUAGCACAAGUGCAUUUCUAUCAAAACCUUUUUAUACAGAUACCAGCCCUUCUCCAUUGCUAUCUUCAACCAUUCUUCCAACGUUUUUCAUCUCUAACAUCAUAUGAUUUAAUCAAAUUCAAAAAUGAGUGAGAGAAGGAAUGCUUGUCGCUUCAUCUUCAUUAACUUUUCCCCAUGAUUAAUUAUAAGCUUCAGACAAAAUCUCCGAAAAAAGCUGUCCAAAAUUAUUAAUGACAUUCUACAGACUACAUGGCUAACAAAACAAUUGUCUAAACUGCUAAUUGAACACUUUAGCGUCUCCAUGUGUAAAAUAAAUAUUAAAAAAAUAAUAAAGAAUUGUAAAGGAGAAAAAAAAUAGUUGUUGGGAAUUUCUGCCAAACAACCCCCAACAGGCGAUGAUGUUUAAAGGUUAGUUUCAUAGAUUUCGGCCAAUGGCUAAAAUAGGAAAUCAACACCACCAUUAAUAGCUCGACCUGAAAAACUAAGUGGGCCAUUUGAAGCAACAUUUUUAGGAACGGUAGCUUAUAGCUCAUUCACUAAAUGGAUGACCCAUUUUUAUGGACUAGGCCCAUAUUGUUGGCUACCCUAUAGAUGUACACACACAUGUUAUUCUCCUUCCAUGUUGGUUACCUGUGGCCAAAGAGAAAUCAACAACAGUCCCUUUUUUAUUUGAAGUUAACAGCUGUGAGUUUUUCUCACUUCCUCUAUGUGAGUGAUCAGCUACCUUCUCUUUCUCUUUGUGAGAUAUUAUCCUUUGUGGGUUAUACAUAAACUUGGACAACCUUAGAGAAUGUUUUGUGGGUUGAGCUUUGGAUUUUGGAAGAUCUUAUUGAUGUUGAUAUUGGUUUCACAAAUUGAGCCCAUUUUUGUACAUCAAUUGAAAGUUAUUGGUUAGCACUUUCAUCACAACUAAAAAUCAACACAACUAGACACCUGAUGGAUGAAUGGACACCAUGUUGGGAAUAUACUUAACGUGCACAGCGGAAAAUAAACAAUUUUCGAUUCCCACCAAGGAUAUGAUUUGUGUUUAGAUAGAAAUUGUGAUAAAAGUCAUACCUUUUACCAGAUCUGCAAACUCCUUUGCUGUUCUUUCAUUCCAACGAUCUUGAUUCGCCACCUACAGCUAUCCAAUUGUCUUACCUCCAAUGGUGAUCUAUACAGAGAACAAGAUUGUAGGAUUUGUGCUAGCAAAAAUGAUGAAUUCUCUACAAAAUUGUAAACCCUAAUCACUUAUAUAUAUAAGCCUGAACGGGCUUGGUCUGACCUGGUCCAAUAUUUAAUUAAAUUCGAUCCGUGAAUUAAUUAAUUUAAUUAAUUAAUCCGGACCUAUAAAUAAGCAACACAAUUAAUUAAUUUAUCUAACGCUUGUUAAAUUAAUUAAGCGUUUGAUUAAUUAAUUAAUUGACAAAUCACAAUCUUUCAGUUCUCCUUUUGUAUGCGACCAAUCAGGUUCCCGAUCGUGAUGCCUAACGACUAAAAUAUUAUUUUGAUCUAAUCAAAAUUGGUAAAUUAAAACACCAUUUUAAUUUAUCACCAAUUCACACUCGCUGUUCCAUAUUGACAUUUAGCAAUGUGUUAGGGCAAUACAUGUGACGAAAAAUAUCACGUGGUAUGACAAAAUCAAACUCAUUCGUUUACCGUGAAACUAUAAUCCCUUUAUCAAUAUGAUCCGAUCAAUUGCGAGAUAUGGAAGUGUGUCAAUCUCGAUUAUCGAUCAUAUCUUUCACUCUACUAUUAAAUUAAUAUAAGUCGAAAACUCCUUUUUGACUUAUGAGUACACACUGGCCAAGGAUUUCGUUAUCGACUUAGUUGAAUGAAAUGCAGAUCAUAAUCUCUUACUAUCUAAGAGUGAUGAAUCCUCUAUUGUUCUUUCACACAAUAUCCAACACCAUCAAGCAUGAUUGUCCUCAUAUAAGAUACUAGACAAUCUCAAGUCAAAGGACUAAUCCAUUAUUGAACGUUAGAGAUUAAUUACUGAUACUCAGAUAGUUAACCAUGUGGAAUCUUUAGACCGGUCUCCAAUGUUUUUGUUCUAUAACAAAACAUCCACAUGUUCAUUCAAGUGUCACCACACUUUAGUUUGUGAGAUCAGCUACUUACUUUACAAGUAAGAAAUGUCACGCGUGAUGGUUUAUCUGUAAUAACAUAUCCAUAUCUCGUUAUUACUUAUGACCACGGACGAUUUAAGAUUCAAUCAUAUAUAAUUUAUAUCUCACAAUCACAAUUCCUUGUGAUUAACAAAUUACGAAGAUUUGAAUCUACGAACUCUAUUAUUUAAUUUAAUUAUAUUUUAAUUAAAUAAUAGAUCUACCAUUAAAUUGCAUUAAUUAUAUAUUAAAAGUAUUUAUGUCCAAGGUUGAUUGGACUUAGGGCAUAACACUUACACACCAUAUUUCGACUCCAAAUGACAAGCCAAAGUUGCCUGGUCGGCACGUGCAAUGCGUAGAGCAACAGAGAUGGCAGCGCAUGAGGCCUUCAUGUAGAGACUGGGGUAGUGUGUGGCGGUGAUUCUCAUGGAGGUCCUUGAAGGCAGUUUGUUGAAAUCUGGACUGUUUUUCCAUUGAGUAUUUGGUUGUCAAGUGUUAUUUUGGGUUGCUGCAGUUGCUGAAGGUUGUAGAGUGAACAAUGCUGGCCUUGAACCUGUAAAUUUUUCGCAUCUUUCCUUUAUUUACAAACCGACAGCUUGGUAGGCUCGGUGAAUUGGUUGAUCUCUUUAUUAGAAGGCCAUUAUGUGGGGGUGAUCAUUGGGUUAAAGAUUACCGUGCAGGGGUAAGCAUUGCUUGUUGCUAGAAUUUAGUAAUUAUUUGCCUUGUUUUACGUGUUUGAAGUGUUGAAAAUUGUUAAGUUUUAUUGCUGAAAAUUUUUCAUUGAUUCUGUGAUAUAAUUGUUGAAUGAGUUACUUUGUGAGACUUGAUGAGAAAUUUUGAUGAUGACAUCAUCUACUAUUUCGUUGUUUUGAGCCAUUUUAUUUAUGUUUAUUUAGUAUUAGAUGGGCUUGUAUUAAUGGGCUAGCCCAAGCUUUGACUUUUAGUCUUACUGUUUCUAUUUAAAUGUUUGUAAAUGAAACUUGGGGAAAGACUAGAAAUGGCUUCUUAUUUUUGUUGUUCUUCUUCUUCUUCGGCAGUGAGCUAGUAUCGUGAACUCCAGCGUUUAACACAGCUCCAAGUCAGGCGUUGGUUCUUCUUCUUCUUCUUCUUUGUGAGAUCAUAUUGUGAUCUAACACAGCUCCAAGUCCAGGGGUCCUUCUUCUUCAGCUUCUUCUCUGUUCUUCUUCUUCUUCUUCUUCUCUAUCAUCGUUAUUAUACUUUUUUCUUGUCCAGUUUACUUGAUGCAACAUCUCUUGUUUUUGUUGGUAUAAAUGGAUGGUGAUGAAACUUAAACUAUUGACCUCUUCUUAAUCUGACAAGUUGAACAACCUUAUCUCCAUCAAUUUCAAGUCUUAUCAUGUAGUCAACAACAACAUAAGCUCAUCACUACUUGAUUCCAUCCUCUAGGACCAAUGGAAUCUCAAAAUUUUAGGUAGAGAAUCAUAAAACAUGAAAUAAAAACUGUGAGAUUCGAACCAUGGUAUUUUGCUUCCAGAAUUUUAAUUACACUGAAGUCGUGUUUUGUGGAAAUGCAACACUAUUAAAUUGGCACUUUCAUCCGGAUGGUAACACGUGGUUGAACCUUGGCUGUUGGAUUGAUUCUAGAACCUUCUCCAUUAUAAUGUGCCUUUUCACUUGGCACCGGCAUUGACUCCAUUAUGCGUUUUACUCUUGGUCUUUUAGAGAGAGAGAGUGAGAAGAAAAACCUCUCGUCUGGCUAGCGUUUGUUCUUCUUGAUACUGUGGGGCUCAAAUCUCUGAUUUGACGCCUUAAAUGUGAAAGACUUAGUGGUUUCGUUUAGAUAUUUUGAGUGAUUAUCUGUAAUGGCUUGUGUCCUCUUCUGUUUUGAUGUUUUGAGAGGGAUACAGUGAAGUUUCUUUGUGAUUCUUUGUAGGUUUUGAGUCGAUCUUGAGAGAUAAGUAUCUUUACUUCAUCUCAGUGUAUUUGUUGAACUCUUGUAACCCUUCGUUGCCAUUUUUGGCUAUUAUAGUGCAACUAAACGUAAUCCAACUUGUUGGAUGCUCAACGGGGGAUGUAGGCGUUAGAUGUGAUCGUCGAACCUCCAGGGCUUAGGCCGAAAGAAAUCUUGUGUUGAUUCUUGAAUUUUCUGCACAGUUUACUUUUGGUUGAUGUCAAUUUCUUGCUUCUUGGUUUAAUAUUGUGUGACCUUUUGCCUUACAGUGGUAUCAAAGCCAUACUGAGGAGUAAGAUACCCGGAUCUUGGAGAGAAAGGUGGAUCUUUGAUAGAUCUUGAAUUUUUUGGAACUGCUGAAAAGCAUAUUUGAACUGCCUCGAGUCAUUGAACUCUCUGGUUGAGAUAUUUUUUAACUAACUACAUAUUACAUUUGAGAUAUUUGUGUUUCUUGAACUUUCCCUGAUGUUACAGUACACCGUUGAAACCCCCUUGAGACUAAUCUUUGUCCAGUGGCUCCUACGAGGCCACUGGAAUCUGAGAUAAAUCAAGUACGGGUGUGUAACUUGGGAGAAUCUAGCUGGAGAGAUCUGCGAAACCUUAUAAUCUAAUCUUAUUAAUUGUUUUUCUACUGAUUGAUUAAGCCUGCUCUCUCUGAUUGAUAUUUCUUGAUUGGUGAAAUCCUGUAUUACUUUGUGAUUUACUAUGAUUUUAAAGUUGACAAUUUAGGGUUUAUGUUUACAAUUGUUCUGAUUUUUUGCUAAAAUCCUAUUUUGUAAUAACUUGCAUGCAUUAUGGCUACUGUAAAAUUUGAAGGGAGUCAAUUUGAUGGUAAAGUUGAUUUUGAUAUGUGGAGUCAGAAAAUGAAAGCCAUUUUGAUGCAAAUGAAAUGUGCUAAGGCAUUAGAUGAUUCAUGGCCUGAGGGUUUAGCACCUAAUAAGAAAUCUGAACUUGAGGAAAUUGCUUGAAGUAACAUAUUUCUGUAUUUGUCUGAUAAUGUGAUCAGAGAGGUAGGUGAAACUAUUACUGCCUCUGAUCUUUCGGCCAAACUUAAGGUUAAAUAUGAGACCAAAACCACUCCAAACAAAUGUUUUCUUCUAAAACAAUUUUUCUCCUUUAAAAUGGAUCCUGCAGUUGACAUAGAAGAGAACUUUAGUAGGUUCACAAAACUUACCCAAGACUUGGCCAAUUGUGAUGAAAAACUUUCAAAAGAUCAAUUAGUUGUAGUUCUGUUAAACUCCAUAAGUGACAAGUAUAAGGACAUUAAAGUUUCCCUUGAAUAUGGUAGGGAAGAACUCACUAUUGAUGAUAUAACCAAUGCUUUAAGGAAUAAAGCUUUAGAAAUUAAGGCUGAGUCAAGUAACAGUCAUACUGGAACUAGUUACUUAAUUAAAGGAAAAUCUUUUGAAAAGCCUAUACAAAAUUUUAAGUUUUCAAAAACUAAUAAAAGAUGGGUUGACAAAAGUAAGACAAAAAAUAAUGCAAAAGGUAAAAAAAUGCUAUUAUUGUGGUAGGCUUGGUCAUUUUGCAAAAGAUUGUUUUAAAAAGAAAAAUGAUUCAAAAGAAAAGGGCAUUGAUGGAAGUAAUGCACUGGCGUAUGAUUAAACUGAAACAGAAAAUGGUUUUGUGUUAGUAAGUGCUGAAAAAUGCCUAAGUAAUGAAUGUAUACUUGACUCAGGAUGUUCUUUUCAAAUGUGCCCCAACAAAAACUGUUUUAUAAAUUUAGAAAGAACCAAAGGGGGACAGGUUAUAAUGGGAAAUAACUUUGCAUGUAAAGUGAGUGGAAUUGGGACUGUCAAAUUAUUACUAGAAAAUUGUAAUGUUUUGUUUCUAGAAAACACAAGACAUGUCCCAGAUUUGAAAAGGAACUUAGUAUCCUUAGGAAUGUUAGAUGACAAGGAGUUUAAUAUAAUUAUGGGUCAAGGACAUAUAAAAAUUCUUAGGGGAAAUGACUUGGUCACUUCAACCCCUAAGAGACAUGGCCAUUAUUGUCUGAAUACAAAACCUUUGCUUGGUUUAACUGCUUCUGUUGUAUCUGAAAAUAUAGAUAAUAGAAAGUCAACUUCAUCUUGUUUUUAUACACUAUGUGGUACUGCCAUUAGUUGGAAGUCUCAACUUCAGAAAAUUGUAGCUCUGUCAUCUACUGAGGCAGAAUACAAAGCAGCAACUGACGCUGUUAAGGAGGGGAUUUGGUUAAAUGGUUUAUUGACAGAAAUCGAUUUUAAUGAUAAUCUCACUGUGGUAUUUUCUGAUAAUCAAAGUGCCAUUCACCUAAGCAAAAAUCUCAUGUUUCAGGACAGAUCAAAACAUAUUGAUGUUAAGUAUCGUUUUAUAAGAGAUAUAAUCUCAAAAGGUGAAAUUAAGAUUGAUAAAGUUUCUACUCAUUUUAAUCCAUCAGAUAUAGGUACAAAAGUAAUUCCAUUAAACAAAUUCCUAAACUGUUUGAAACUUUUAUCUGUUGAUACUUUGUAAUUUUUGUACAGGUAAAUAGAACAAAUGAUAAUGAGUUAAGGAUUUGCUCCUGGCUGCACUAUAGUUCCCAAAUUCCGGUAGCAAGGUGGAGAAUGUGAGAUUCGAACCACGGUAUUUUGCUUCCAGAAUUUUAAUUACACUGAAGUUGUGUUUUGUGGAAAUGCAACUCUAUUAAAUUGGCACUUUCAUCUGGAUGGUGACACGUGGUUGAACCUUGGCUGUUGGAUUGAUUCUGGAAAUUUCUCCAUUAUAAUGUGCCGUUUCACUUGGCACCUGCAUUGACUCCAUUACGCGUUUUACUCUUGGUCUUUUAGAGAGAGAGAGAGAGUGAGAAGAAAAACCUCUCGUCUAGCUAGGGUUUGUUCUUCUUGAUACUGUGGCUCAAAUCUCUAAUUUGAGGCCUUAAAUGUGAAAGUCUUAGUGAUUUCGUUUAGAUAUUCUGAGUGAUUAUCUAUAAUGGCUUGUGUCCUCUUCUAUUGUAAUGUUUUGAGAGGGAUACAGUGAAGUUUCUUCGUGAUUCUUCGAAGGUUUUAAGUCGAUCUUGAGAGAUAAGUAUCUUUACUUCAUCUCAGUGUAUUUGUUGAACUCUUGUAACACUUCGUUGCCAUUUUUGGCUAUUACAGUGCAACCGAGCGUAAUCCAAUUUGUUGGAUGCUCAACGGGGGAUGUAGGCGUUAUAUGUGGUCGCCGAACCUCCGGGGCUUAGGCCGAAAGAAAUCUUGUGUUGAUUCUUUAAUUUUCUGCACAGUUUACUUUUGGUCGAUUUCAAUUUCUUGCUUCUUGGUUUAAUAUUGUGUGACCUUUUGCCUUACAAAAACCUACCAAAAUCAGUAAUAUCACCAUUUCUCCAUGCUGCUACUAACUGGGACCUCUAACCAAUAUUCAAAAACUGAAACUCCAUGACCUCAAAUUUCGCAAAUUAGAUCUGGUGGAUACUUUGCUUAGAUCUCUUGAACAAUAGGACGUAUUUGUUGUUAUGGUGUUGAGAAACGCCAAUUGUAGUAGUGUGUAGUAGGUUUCAAGAUUUUGCUAGUAGGGUCCAUGAAUUAGGUCAACAAGAUGAUUCAUUGGAAAGAAAGGAUGAGAGGGAGGUGGUAAAUGAGCCAAAGGGAUGGUGGGAUGGGUGUUGGUGCAUGCGUAAGUGGCAAUUUUUUAUAAUCCCAUUGCCUAUGCAGGGAGUAUUGAUGUCUUCGAAGAUUCAUCUUGGAUGGAUUCCACUUACACAACUUAAUUAUUGUUUUCUAACUAUUAUCAAUGUGCUCAUAUGAUUUAUCUCGAGUCAUGGUUGCCAUUAAGUCAAAAUUCUGCUCUCCGAUAUGACUUAUUUUGAGGUGGGCCUCCUUAUUUUACGCUAGAAAGGUUGGUUAUUCUCACAUUUUUGGGAACUUCUCCAAGGGGUUUUACUUCUGCAAUUUCCAUUUCCAAUUCCUGGUAUAGGAAAGGUGUUAGCUCAUGUUACUUGUUAGAUGCAGAGACUAAUGAGAGGAGGAUAAGGUUUCCGAAUAUCAAUGCUGAUGAAGUUUCGAGAAGCUUAUUUUAUAAUAAGGAUAUUGAUUUACUCAUCAUUAUUUCAGUUUAUGCUUCAUAUAGUGUAGAACCACUGGGUAGUUUAGUUUUUAAUUCCGUUCUUACUGUCUCUUUCUCAUGCAUCACUUCCCUAAACUAUUUCAGUUACAUGACCAGACAUUGUUUAGGUGGCCCAGUUGUUUGGAAUUAUUAAUGGUUGUUGUAUAUUUUAUGAUUACUCUAGAAUUCAUUAGAAUUGCCUUGGGGAGCAAGGAAAUAGAAGUCCCUAGAAUUUGUUGAUGAGCAAGCAAAAAUAGUAAUUUAAAAUUAAAAAAUCAGAAUUCUCUAAAUGUCUUGGAAAACAAGUAGUAAAGUAAUGAAAAAAUAAGAAUUUUCUAGAAUAAUUUCCACCACCAUUUUGGGUGUAUAAAUAGAGGCUACCACCUUCAAAAUGUUGUAACAAAACAAAAAAUUGAAAAGAGCAUCCAAACUCUUGCAUUGUAAAUCAAAAGUCACUUUGUAAAACUUUAAUAAAAUUAUUUUCUUCCUCCUUCAACUAUCUUGUUCAAUUAAAUUACUCCUAUCAUUUCUAUCCCACAUAAAAUCUACUUAACCACUUCUAUCUAAACCCAUUUAUUUUUUCUACUCAAAAUAAAAAACCUUUAGGAAUGUGAUGGUGUGAAAGGAAGGAUUCUUAUAAGGCACAAGAUAGACAUGAAGAUUCAACCAACUCAGCUGUAUUUGGCUUCUUAUAUAACCUAUUUUUCAGAAUCUUGCACAAUUUCCUGAUGUAUAUACUUUUCAUGUUUUAUUGCAUCAUAUACAAGGUCAUUGUCUUGAAAACUUAUAUAAGUUUUGUCUCCAUUUCAGGUAACAUGUUCAAGAGAGUGCACAUCAUGAAUGGCUUCAGAUGGUUGUUAUGAUGUACCUAUUUCUAGUCUGCAUGAUGGUUGUAUUUCUUCAGCUCCAAAAUUAAAUAGUCCUCAUUCUGCUUCCCAACGUUAUCUAAAUCAUCCUUUCUAUCAUAUUCUUUAACUGAAAGAUUAUUUAUUUCUUUAUCCUCAAACUCAUUUUCUGCCACGCGUUCUUCAAUAAAUCACUUCUCAACUAAAAAGGUAUUUUUCUUCUCUGUGGAAAAAAGACUUCUUUCCACAAGCUCUUUGUGUCUUGUAUACACGUCCACAAAUUUGUGGACCCAUAACUUAUUACUUGCUUUUUAUUCAGCAUUCUUUGGAACCUGCGUCUGAAAUUCUAACUAAAACACUCUGAAACAAUGUUUUAUUUAUUCAUAAAAAAAUUAGUCUUCAAAACACCGUCUUUCGUGCAGAUCAGAUUCCUUUUUUAUUAAUGAACGGAUGGUAUGUUCAUAAUUUUCAUAAAAGAGUGGUGGCGAGACAUGUACCUAGAUUUUUGCUGGCUCCAAUACCGUGCCGUACUUCAUCUACAAGCUUAAGCUGUUGACUGGGAACAAAUUUAUUCAUUUUAAUUUAAUAUUAAUGGUCUUUAGGGUAUUUAUUCUUCUGAGAACAUAUGAUGCAGAUUCCUGAAAGUGUGGUUGACCUAUGCUAGAAUUAACUAUGAUGCUGCUUAUUUUCCAGAGUGUUGAGCUGUCAUGAAAAUCCUUGCUGCAAUGCAAACAGGGUCUAUAAAUAAGAAAAUCCAUAAAAGGCCUCGUUGAAAUUUGAAAAAGUUCAGUGUUUCAUACCGUGGAAAGGGAAUGUUGACCAAUUUGAUUAGGGAUGCAUACUUCAAAUGGAAUCGAAUUGCUCGAAUUGGAAUCGAAUUUAUCACUUUUAUAAUUUUUAUUUUAUUUUAUUUUAUUUUUUUUACAAUUUAUUCAUCCUGAUUCUGCUAUAAUUCUGCUAUAUAUUUUGCCUUAGAUUGAGACUUUAACUAGGAAUUCUGAUGUAUAUUUGGAACAGUCUCAUUCUCAAUUGAAAGAAUCUAUUGAGGAACAUGGCCCCUAGCCUUGGUAAUAUAAGCAACAUUAAUUGUAUUAUAAAGGAUGGGUAAGACAGCAUAAAUCAAUAGAUUCUUUCAAUUGAGGAUGAGACUAUUUCGAAGUUUUUUAACCAUCUCCUUCAUCAGAACAAGGUGGAUUUCAUUGAACAGUUCAAUGAGAAGCUUGUUGUCAAACAAAGGAACAAGACCACCAAAUUCUUGAUGUAAGUUGUUUUUUGUCUUAUAUUUGUAUAUUACUUUGUAGCAUGUUUAGCACGAAGAUUAGUUAGCAAUGAACUGUAAUGAAGAAAGAAAGUGGAGUUAACAACCUUAUUCGGUCAUUUCCCAUUUUGCGCACCAAACAUGCACUUGAUGUUUACAUCCUAUAAAAUCUAUACGAGUCCGCAACUUGGACUUAAAGUUAGUAGAAGUGAAUUCCUGUUAAAAUAUUUUGUACAUGUACAUAAGGCGUUCCUUUUUCAUUUGCUAUUUUCAUCCGUCCUCCCACAUUUUUCAACACUAAAAUCAUAUGGCUUAAUCAAUUUCAGCACGAGUAAAAAAAAUAUUACACACGGCUUCAUCUUCAUCAACUUUUCCCCUAUGAUAAUAUACAGGUUUCACUUCUUUUUGUGCUCAUAUUUUUGUUUAGGUUUGGCAAUUAGAUAAGCUCAGCUGCUUUUAUUUCUUUCUCGUCCAUUUUUUUAGUCUAGGUAUAAAUAUGUUUCCGUGUAUGCUAUGGGGUUGUGAGACAUGAAUAUUGAAUCAAUUGGAAACAUGCACCAAACAUCUUCACAUCUUGUAAAAUCCAAUAUCUUUUCCAUAUACAAUUUCACAAUUCUUCUGUGUCUUUUGCCUCUACAAAAACCGCUCUCUAUAUUUCUCUCCUUGGUUCAGCCAAGUUAAAUGGUGAAUUUUUUUAUUUUUUAUUUAUUUUGCCUGAAAAUUUUAUGUGAGAGUGCACAGGUGUAUGAGACUAUGGAUGUUGGUUAAGUGUGUAUUUAUAUGAGAAAUAGUGAGAGAGAUUGAGAAAUAGUAGUGAUAUGCACCAAACAUGCACUAAACUUGCACUUAUGUUGACAUCAUGUGGAAUCUAUUACCUUUUGUGUACACAGGUACACAAUUCCAAGUAAAUAGAAGUUAUUACAAAUGAUAAUUGUCGUCAAAUGUAACACUCCAAAUUUUCAUAAACUUUGGAGUGCUACCAAAAAAUGCACUUUUCUUUGUGUUAAAGGCAGAACGAUGAAAUAAAAUUCUUUAUAAAAAAAUAACUGGAACAUUCAUAAAUCUAAAUGAAAUCAUUGAAAUCGUAUCUUUGAAAAAAAAAAAUAAACACGCAACUAAUUAAAUAACACGUUUUUGAACAAAUUAAACUAACUAACAAAUUGAAAAAUAGAAAACUUAAUGCUUUUAUUUUUAUUUUUAUUUUGAAUUAUCUUUGCAGCCCGUAUCACUAUCCCCCACCAUUUCAACUGACCUGUAAAUUUUUUUGUAAGAGGGAGUAUUUAAAAAUAUCCAGUAAGAUACGUGCAAUUUUCGUGGAUAAUUAUAUAACAAUAAAAUCUACAUUUCAUACCACAUUUCUCUUAUGGAGUAUAUUGGUGACCAAACGACAUACUUAUCAUUAGUCAUUUAAAUUUCCAAAGGAUUUCACAUUUCGUUAUGAAGAACCCAAUAGAGUUUACAUUUCGUUAGGUCGAACCCGAAGGUCCACCGAUAAUUCAUGCAUAAAUUAUUGGAUUUAAAAGUAUACUGAAAUAAAUCAUUUACACAAAAGUAUCGUACUUUGAUUUUGAAAGGUUGGAAAAAAUAAGAUCUUGCACGUAAAAAUUCUCUUCUUAUUUUUCUAUACCUUUUCCUCUCCUCUCUCUUUAUCAUGGCUCUCUUUAUUUUCCGUGAUGAAAUAAUGCAAAUUCUUGCAGUAGUUAUGGUUGAAAUCUCAAUUGAGUUUGCAUGCAACUAGAAUUGAAAAACCUUGUAAUAUAAGGAAUUUGAAUAAGAAUUGAUUUCAAAUGGUAUAGUAGUAUACUCUACUAUUGAUUUUCCUGGUAUAAUCAUCCCAUUAAAAGUAGGACACUUGGCCAACUAGUGCUUGGUUUCGAAAAGUGAUUUGAAUUGCACUAUACUAUUGGUUUCAUAUAAAUCACGUGUGGUAGGAAUUACAAAAUUAAAAGAAUUUUACAUAAUUAAUAUUGCAAGCCCCACCAACUCGAUUAACUUGUUAUUCUUUUAAUCUGACUUAUCUUGAUGCAGUCUAAUCCAAAAUAACUUUUUUUCUCGUGUUAAUGACUUCUAACUAAUUACGAGCUACAAAAAGUAUUCAAUAUCGAUAUACUUAUUCCCUAUAUCAAAAUCUAAUUAUUUGCCCAAAAUAAAAUUAGAAUUAAACUAUUUCACUUUAGUUCCUCUACUUUCAAAAUAUAAAUAUAUAGCAUAUGGAAUAAAAAAAAUUUAUUCUAUAAAAUUUUCGGAGAAUUACAAACUUUCCUCUUUAAAAAGAAUUUCGUCCUCAAAAUUACCUGAGUUGGUUAACAUGUUUUGGAUACUUGACUUUGACAUACUUAUAAUAGUACAUAACAUGAAGCAAGAAAACUCUUAAUCAUGCUAAAAGAAUGACAUUUCAUUUCAUACCUUGGAUCCAUCGGAGAGUGGUUGAACAGUGAGUGUCGCGUGCCAAGAAUUUUUUUUUAUUUUUAUCAUUGCAUGGUUAAGACUUUAAAAAUUUUACAUUGCCCUUAAAUUCCUAAUGUUUAUGAAAAUACUUUAUUUUCAUUUCUAUUAAAAUUUUUCUAAAAUAGGAUUUUCUCAAAAUAAAAGUUUUCAAAAAGAUAAUUUUUUUAAAUUUGGAAUGGUUUAAAAUAUUGUUUUUUUGUCUUGUUGAUUUAAAUACUGCGCAACCAAGUCUUUCAGAUAAGGGGGGAUCACAAGUGGACCUCUUAAAUCAUGAGCUCUUCUUAAACAGUUUAGGCAACCUUUCAAUUUUACUAAUACGUAAAUCAAGAAAAUUCAAACAAUAAGUAGGAACUAGAGAUCUCUUAAAACAUAUAUUUCUAAUUGACAAAUUCCUAUCAAAACUCAUUUUGUUGGGGCAAAAAAAAAAUGUCUACACAAGGUGGAACCUGGGCUCUGAUACCAACAGGGUGGUGGGACAUCAAGAUUGAAUCAAUUAGCAAAUGGUGGGUUUCAGAAGGAUCAAGACUAGCGGGGUAUGAUGAGGAUUCUUACGAUGCCUGAAAAAUUGACAAAGAAGUGGAGAAGCUUUCUCCCAAUGGUGAUUUUGAAGACAAUUUAGCUGCCUAUCAUCAUUAUGUCUCUCAUAUCAUGCUCGAUGAGAGCCAAAGCCAAGAUUUGACGCAAUAUCAAACAAGAGAUCUGAAGAGAUUUCUUUGAAUGCAGUAGGUAAAAGUGAUGCAGAUGCUGAUGAUGAGGAAAUUGAAAUAAUUCCGAGGAUGGUGAAGAUGUUUCCGUUUGCUACAGAUGAAGGUUAAUGAAAGCAUGAAGAAGAAGAUGGAGAGCUUGAUGUUAAAGCCGAAAGUGAAGGCAAGUCUGAGAAUACGAGUAAUGGUGCACUAAUGCCACAGUUUGAUAUUUUUUCUGCUCACAUGUAAACAUGGCCUCUCUUUUGAGAGGCAGUGAUGGAAAUGAUAGAAAUCCACCAACUAGAGGUAGAAGAGGUUAUACUUUGUUUUCACAAGCUAUUCCUAUAUUUUUCAACGUUUUAAAAUUCUAAAUUCAUACCGAUUUCAUCAGUUUUAGCUUGUGUCGAAGAAUAUCUACUCACAACUUCAUCUUCAUCAACAAUUCCUAAGAUUAUAUAUAGGAUUAUGGAAAAAAAUUUCCAUUUCCAUGACUGUAAGAGCAUACUUACAGCAAACAUGCACCUAAUGUGCACCAAAUGUACACUUAGAUGUUCACAUCUUAUAAAUUUUGAUAUCCUGUGCAUAUACGGGUUCACAACCCUAAAUUAUUAGAAGUCAGUUCGAAGACCCUUUCUUCUUUCAAAGAAAAAUUGAGUAAAAUUUCUUUUUUUCCUACCAUUUUCUUCUCUAUAGAUAAGACUCUUUAUUUUUCUAUUUGUAGUUUAGCAAAUGUGAAAUGGUGCGGACGCUAGUGGAGCCAGUUCUUUGCGAGCCAACGCUAUCGCUCGUGCUGGGUUCUCCAGAAUUAACGGGUCCUAUGAUGAUGAAGUUCAAGAAGCAGGGUUUACCUGAUCUGACUUUUAUGAAUGGAGAAAUGAACGUAAUGGAAAGUGGAAGCAGAAAUUGGAGGUGAUAACAUAGUAGUAGCUUAACUCGUGGAUUUGUGAUUGGUUUUGGGCUAUGAACCGGCCCAAUAGUUUAUAAGUCCAUCACUGAUACAUGUGGAAUUUCAAGAAUUAUUUGUGAUACAUUUGUGACUUGGUAUGUAAGACCUAUGUGAUAUUGAGAUCGGCCAGAAAAUUGUCCAUGAUUAUAUAUUUCUUCUAGUUCACUGAGAGGCCUUGACCGUGUUCUAUACUAGACUAAGGAGUCUUUACUAGGGAUGAAAAUGCCUUGACCAUGUACAUAUAGUUCAUUUAGGGGUCUUGGCUGUGUUCUAAAAUUAAUUAUGAGAGAUUUUUGAGAUCAACUUCCGUUUACCGAAGGGGCUUAAGGCCCAUGUUGGGAGUGCUUAGCCCAAUGGGUAGUCUACACAUGUAUGACCAGCUUACACAUUUCAAUUAGAGGGUACAUUUUUAGUGAAUUUUUUCAGUACGUUUGAUACGAUGAGAUUAUAGUAUGAUUAACAGCUUAUGUUUAUAUCAUGACUUGAGAUGAUAUUUUACGAAGUUAUGUGAAUGUCUCAUUUUUUAGUUUUAAUUAUAUGAAGUUAUCUUGUGAAUUAUUAAAUGAUAUGAACAUGAUUUUUGAUAAAAAUGUAUAAAUGAGAAGGUAUAAUUAUUUUCGAAUUUCUCCUCUCACUGAGAUAUCAACUCAUAUAUUUUCCUACGUUUUUCUUAUCAAGCAGCAGUUAAGUAUCUGGGCACCUUUUGAAGUUGAGCUUUUGAUUUUGGAGUCAGAGCCAGACGACAGGAUUUGCUAGUAUGACUUACUUCAUAGAAUGUUCAUGUGUAGGUGUGAUUUUGCAUCAUUUGUAGAUAGUUAUGGGGCUCACUAUGUAUGUGUAUCCAUAUGUACAUUUCAUAUUAUUAUCUGGGUGAAAAUUGAGAUUUAGGCUUAUUUUUAUUGUGUUGUGUUAUGUUCUGGGAUUUGUGUAUAGUGAAUUACAGGUUGAUUAGUCAUAUUUACAAGAGAGAUAAUGUCGAAAUUUUGUUAAAAAUAAAUUAUAAAAAGUAGUGUUUGUAGUAGCCUUGAUGCUUGAUCCGACUUUUAGUUGGUAUUUAUCAUCGGUGCAUGCCACAUUCCAAGUCCAGUAACAUUACAUGGGGCAGGGCAUGUAAUCGAUGUGGGCUAAAAUUGAUAAUUUGAGAAUCGAAGCAAGUUUGGAUAACUAGUUAAAAUAGGGGAAAAAUGUCUUGCAUCCCUUAGAAUUAAACAAUUAUUUUAGACUUAAUAUAUAUACUAUUGAACCACCUGAAACAAGAACUUGCAUACUUUGUUGUUAUCAAUUUGGAUUCAAAAUAUGCUGAAUUCACCGUCCCUGAUAAUUUUAUUAUACAGUGACUAGCAGCGUGAAAUUAAAUCAUGCAUCAACAAGUGAAAAAUAAAGAAAGCAUAAGAUUGAAUAUUAAAGCAAGUUAUAAACACGAAGAAAGUAUAUAAUUAAUAAAACUAAGUAAACCAUCCUGGAAGGGGUGAUGAUUACUCUUAAAGCACUGCAUUCAAGGAGGGAAAACUAAGCCAUUACUAGUUCUACUGUUGCAUGCUUGAUGGUUCUGCAUUUUGUCGAUUGAUUCCAUUUCCUCCCUUGUGCUAUCCUCCGUGAGAUCUCUCUCUUUUUCUCUCUAUACAUAUUUUGGAAAAGCGAUUUGAGAAUGUGACUACUUUCUGAUUAAGAAGAAGAGAGGUUAUACUAUUGUAAGUUGGCGAGUUGUUAAGCUUUCAUUUGGAAAACAAAUAUACAAACUAUUUAGAAAUUAAGUCAAAGUUAAUUAUAGAUUUCAAUUUCCAAUGCACACACAUGACAAUUAAAGGAGUGUAUAUAUUGAUUUAUCAAUUUAUAGAGAACGUUCUAGAAUUUUGUAAAAGGAAAAAAUCACUGCCUCGCACAUGGAACACACCAUGCCUACACGUAACAUGCGAAUAGGCGCAUGUAUGAUACAUAAUAUUUUUGUUUAUAUAUUCUAACAUGGUCACAUAAUAUUGGCAAAUUAUUUAAUUUUCAAGGUAUUCGAAUAAAUAAUCCAUAAAGUACCAAAUGACCUUCCUCUUCUUACUAUUUCGCUAACUUCAUUCAAAAUCACGUGAAAGAUAAUCACGUGUCAUGAAUUAAAAAAGAGACAAAAGUAUAAGAAUUAAAAUUAAAGCAAGUUAUUUGGAACAAAAUAAAUAUAUUAUGGCUUGCGCACUUGAACGAAAAAUGAAGUCAUUUAAUUAUGUCAUAUUAUACAAAUUGAAAGACAUUUAGGUUUGUUUAUUAGUGUUUUUUUUUUUUUUUUGUACAAAGGAAGAAGGCAAAAAGACUCAAAAUACCAUGAUUAUGUGGUCAACAAUGUUGUCACUUCCAUUAAUGAACAACCAAGGUAAGGCAUAUAUUUAUUUAUUUAACUCGUUCGUUUGCAUUUUUCUGUUCCUUUUUUAAGUUACUUAAUGUUAUUAUGUGCAUAAUUAUUGAUGAAAGAAGAGGACAUCGAGCAUCACAAAUGUCGACAAGGCCCCCUAAGAAGAGUCCAUCUGAAGACGUAAAUGAAACAAGAUCAAACAGGGAGAAGCAUCAUGCUUUAACAAUGAGAGCAAUAAUCAUCCACGUUUAAUAAGGGAAAACGCAGUGAGUUGAAGCCCUACCCAAGGUAGCUUGUCAAAGAACUACCACACCAAGAGCUCUAAGAGUAUAAGGAGAAGGUAAAGUCCAAGUAGCGAUUACAUUUACAUUUUUCUCAUUACAUUGCACUUUGAUUAUGAAUUAAUGGACAGUUCUUUCUUUUGCAAGAUUUGGAUUUUCUUAUUAGUAUAAAAAAAUUGAAAAAAGAAACCACCAAAUCAGGAACAUCAGCAAAUUUAUGAGGAGCAUGGAAUUAUGUGAUGCUUUGAACAUGUUCGUAAUUCUUGGUAAUAAAGAUUUGGUCGAAAACCUUAAAAUAAUCGAGUGGUGGAAUUUUCAUGAAGAUGAAGUCACGAGUAGAGAUUCUUUGAUGCAGGCUAAAAUUGAUGAUUUGAGGAUCGAAAUACGUUUGAAAAACUAGUGAAAAUAGCAAAAUGACUUGCAUACUUAAGAGUUAAAACAUGAUUUUAGAGUUGAUAUACGUUGAAGAUGUACUACUGAACCACCUCAGAUGAGAACUUGUAUCCUUUGUUGUUUCCAAAUCGGAUUCGGCAUAAAGAGUCUAGCAGUGUGAAAGAAAAUUAUGUAUCAUGAAGUGAAAAAUUAAUAAAAAUUAUUAAGACCAUCCAAGGAGAGGUGAUCUACUCAAGCCAGUCAAAAUGUAAAGUGUUCCUUAAUGUUGGGAAAACACCUCCCGAAGAUUGCCCAAAGAUCAAUCAAAGUUGACAAUAUGAAAAUAUCCAAACCACUUCAAGAACAAGGAAAUGAGGAAGAAAUGAUUUCAAUGUAUAUUGGAAGAACAAUGUAUUGGAUUACUUGAACAAGCCUCAAGUUAAUCCCAAAGAAAGAAAAAAUGGCUUUGAAUUUAUACCCAAGAAGAACAAACUCUUACUUGUAAAAUUCUAUCCAAGCCCUCUCGGUUUAUCUCUCUCAAAAUCGUGCCUAGGUCUUGUGUUAUGUUGAAAGAGGCAAAAAAACCGUGUAUAUACCUAGGCGCUAACAUUCUGUUUGGCUUCUGCACUCGGGGCGCCUAGGCGCCAUGUUUCUGCCGGGGAGGCAGAAACUGGGCGCCUGGGCGCCCGGCAGAACCAGCCCCUUCUCUUCCUUCUCUUCUCAUUCCUUUCUCUUCCUUCUCUUCUCACACUUAAUAUGUGCGAAGAUAUAGAAAGUAGGAUUAAGGAGAUAUUGUAACACUCCGAAAUUUCAUAGCAUAGAAUUAUUUGGUGAUAAUAAUCUUGACCAAGAUGGCUUUAGAUAAUUUUGAAAUAGUUGAGGGAUUAAAAUGAAAUAGGUAUUAAUUAUUAUUAUUUUGGGGCAAAUAAUUUUUUAUUGAUAAAGUGAGAUUUUGUAUAUCGAUAUUGGGCAGGAUGUAAUUGACUAGAUAUUAUUUUUGGUAACACAAAAUCAGCGUCGUGUGCAUGAAAUAUUUAUUUAAUUAGUUAGGUGAUUAUGUUAUUUUUUAACCUAUGUUUAAAUUUAUAGAUAUUUCAAUUAUUUUAUUUUAAUCAUUAAGAGAAGUAUGUUUUUGGUAACACUCCAUGGGUUAUAAAAAAAUUUGGGUGUUACAUAUUGGAAUAUGUAUUUGGCUUUCAAAUAACACACUCUUGAGUUAAAACAAGGCUCUACUAAUGAAGGAUCAAUAUAUGGGUUGAACAAUGAACAAAUAAUAUAGUUGUUAAAUCAAGCAAUCAAUGAAUAAUGUUUGGAUCUUCAAAGAAUGAUCUCUAUAAUCAAAAUAUUGUUCAACCACACUUUUGGACAUCCCAUAAGGUAUAUAUUUAUAAUGGGUAAUGUUUGGGACGAAAAUGAACUCAAAAAUAUCUUGAAAAUCGAUUUUUAUUAUUCCUUAUAUAAACACAUUGUUUGAGCGCCAGUCUAGUAUCAGGCGAGUGGCAGCAAAGUCAAUAUUUUCAUCAUAACAUUCUAUUCUGAUGUCUUAUUAUGGUGAUUCAAAGUGCAUUUGAAUGUUAUCUAAGGUACUACAAUUUUCUAGUUUAACAUUUUACAAAUUCUAAUGUUUUCUUUUUGAAAAAUUCAUUGCAACUUGUGACUGAGAAUUUGGCGCAAAACUUAAGUAAUAAUUUGACACUCCUUUGAUUUCUAAUUGCAUUUUAUUGAUCAUAUGUGUUCUUGGAUAUCUUUGGCUCCUCCAAGGACUAUAGUACCAAACCUUUAUUAUUUUGACUUUAUUUACACUUCAUUACUCCUAUUUUAACUUUAGUUACAAUACAAUUAACUAGAAGUGGACAAAUGUCUAGAACAAACCAAGCUAAUCCAAAACCAAAUCAAACCAAGUGGUUCGGUUCGAUUCUAUCAAAAAAAUUAACGGUUUUGGUUCUUUGAUCCAAGAACCAUUUUGUUUUGGUUUUGGUUUGGGUUUGAUUCUAGUUCAAGAACCAGAACCUAAACCAAACUUAACAUUUAAUUAUAUAUAUGAAUUAUUGGAGACUCUAAUUUUAUAUUCAUUGAAAAAUAGCCCAUUAAUUGAAUUAGUCUAUUAAUCGAUUUUUGGUCAUUAUAGAUAGACAGCUUAUUAGUUGUUUACACCCUAAUAAUGUAUUCAUUUCAAUCAUUUCUCCUUCACUCCAUUUCAAUUUACAUGCCUCGGCAUGCUGGUAUCACAUUUCAUCAAGUAAGUGGAGUAUCUCUUCAAGAUCGGAAAAUAAACUUGGUUAAUUACUUAACAAGUUUUUAAACUAUUUUUUACCUAUACAAGUGAACUGUAAAAUUUUUGCAUAAUUCAUUCUUUAUUGUAGUUGUGUGCCUUCAAAUCUGCUGCAAUUAAUUUAGUGAAUCAUUGCUAUUACUUAUUAAACGUUUUUAGUAUGAGAAUGAAAACUGAUUUGUAUAUUCAAAUUAUGACUAUAUUUUGUUUGUUAGUUAUGACUUUUUUGAUCUCUAUGAUUGAAAUUUGAACUUGUUCAAUGUUUGAUAUUUAUUCUUUUUUUAUUUAAGUAUAUAUUACUAACUUAAAUGGUACAAAUAUGAAAAUUUAAGAAAUGAAGCUAAAACCAAACCAAAACAAACCAAAGCCGAACGGUUUGGUUCCAUAUCUUUCAAAAAACCAUUUGGUUCCAUUAUAUAUAUAAAAAAAAACAUUUAUUCAUGGUUCGGUUUGGUUCUAUUGGAACCAGAAUUAAAUGGAAUCUUGUCCACCCCUACAAUUAACUCCUAAUACAAUUCAACAUGAUUUUGACUAUCAAAUUGCCAAUUACAGAUUUAGAAUUUGCCAGCUAUAUAAUUUGGACCUAACACCUCUACUAUCCUCCAUCAGACUUCUCACUUUCUCUCUAUAUAUAGAAUUUUGGGAAACGAUUUUGAAAUUUUGAUCAGUUCCUGAUUAAAAGUAGUCAAGUUAUACUAUCGACAGUUGGCUAGUUGUUAAGCCUUCAUUUGGAAAACAAAUAUAUAAAUGGUUUAUAAUUUUAGUCUGAGUUAAAUAUAAUUUAUAAUUUCAUGUGCACAUAAAUAAUGAUUAAUGGAGCAUAUAUAUUGAUUUUUCAAUUUAUAGAGAAUGUUCUAGAAUUUUGAAAAAGAGACACCCACCUCGCACAUGAAACCACCAUUCCCGCACGUAGCAUUCAAUUAUGUGUAUGUAUGAUACAUAGUAUAUAUUUUCAUAUAUUCUGAAAAAUUCACACAAUAUAUUGGAAAAUUAUAAAAUUUUCGAGGAAAAUGAUUUUUUUUAAAAUUUGAAUAAAUAAGUACGUAAUUAAUAAACAAACCUCAUCUCCUUAAUUUUCUCUGAGUUGUUAAAAAUUACGUGGAAGCAGAUCACCUAUCAUGAAGUGAAAAUAAAGAAAGCAUAAGAUUAAAAAUUAAGGGAAGUUAUUUAGAACUAAGUAAAUUUGUACAUCAUUUACGGCAGCUAUAUGUUCCAUAUGGCUUGCCCACUCAAACCAAAAAUGAAGUAGAUAAAUUAACAAAUUGAAACAUACAUUAGUUUGUUUUAUUACUAUGUAUUUCCUAUGUAUAAAGGAAGAAAGCAACAAAGACUCGGAACAACAUGAUUAUGUGGUCAACAGCGUCGUUGUUCCUCACUAAUGGACAAGAAAUGUAAGGCCUAUUAUUUGAAAAGUAUAAGAUUGAAAAUUACAAGUUAUUGAGAGAAAAUUAAUCUGUAUCAUUUAUUGCUGCUAUAUGUUCUCAAACCUAUUAGUUCCACAUGGCUUGCAUACUGAAACGAAAAAUGAAGUAAACUAAAACAUAAUAUCCUACAAGUUGAAACCCAAUUUAAUGUGUUUAUUACUAUAUAUUAUCUGUGUACAAAGAAAGAAAGCAAAAAAGACUCGGAACAAACAUUAUUACGUGGUCAACAACGUUGUUGUUACUUUCACUACUUAACAACCAAGGUAAGGCAUACAUUUAUUUAUUUAACAGGUUCGCAUGGAUUUUUAUGUUUUUCCACUUAUAUAAUGUCAUUAUGUGAAUAACUAUUCAUGAAAAAAGAUGAUAUCAAGCGUCACAAUUGUCCACAAGCCCCACUGAGAAGCGUCCAUGAGAAGACGUAAAUCAAACAAGUUCAAAGAGGGAGAGAUAUUAUGCUUUAAUAAUGAGAGCAAAUAAUCAUAUCGAUGUAAUAAGAGACGAGUCGAAGCCCCACUAAAGGUAGAAAUUCUCAAAGAACUACCACACUAAGAGCUCCAAGAGAAUAAGGAGAUGGUGGAGUCCAAGAAGCAAUCAUGUUUACGUUUUUCUAAUUACCUCGCACUUCAAUUCUAGAUGGACUGUUUAUCAUUAUUAUUAUUAUUAUUAUUAUUAUUAUUAUUAUUAUUAUUAUUAUUAUUAUUAUAAAAGAAAUACUUUUUUUUGGAAAAUGAAACCACCGAAUUGGAGACAUUAGAAAAUUCAGGAGGAGAAUGGAAUUAUGUGAUGCUCUGAACAGGCUUGUAAGUCUUGGUAAUUGAGAUUUGGUUGAAAACCUUAAACUAAUCUUGGGGUAUAAAAUUUUGAUGACGAUGAAGUCAUGAGUAGUGAUUCUUUGACGCAAGCUAAAAUUGAUGAUUUCAAAAUCGAAAUACGUUCGAAAUCUAGUGAAAAUAGCGAAAUGACUUGCAUCAUUAAGGAUUAAAACAAGAUUCUAGAAUUGAUAUGUGUUGAAGAUGAACUAUUGAACCACCUCGAAUGAGAAAUUGCAUCCUUUGUGGUUUCGAAUUUGGAUUCAACAUAUUCUGAAUUCACCUCUGCUGAUUUUAUUAUACAGAGUCUUGCAAUGUAAAAGAAAAUCGUGCACCAUGAAGUGAAAAAUAAAGCUAGCAAAAUUUAUAAAAAUUAGGGGUGAAUAUUACUAAAGCCGGUCACAUGGUAAAAUGUUCCUUCACACAUAUAUGAGAGAAGUGGGCUUAAGCAAGCAGGUGGAGCUCUAGGGAUUGGAAUCUUAAAUCACUUCAUUCAACGAGAGAAAACCAAGCCAUUGCUAGUUCCAGUGUUGCAUGCUUGACGGUUCUACAUUACGUCGGUUGAUUCCAUUGCCUUCCCUCUGCUAUCGUCCUUCAAAUCCCUCACUUUUUAUAUAUAGAAUUUGGGGACAAAUACAAUACAUCGUGUAAGUUAUCCCCUAACAAAAUCAUUCGUCUGCUAAAGUUAAUUUUGCGUGUCGAUAAAAUGUAAAUUGUUCAUAAUAAAGUCUUAUGAAUAUUACAAAGGAGAAGACCCUAUUUAUAGGGCUACAAAUAACUGUAAAAGGAAAUAACGUAAAAGGAAAGAUUGUGUAAUAAUUACACAAUCAAUUAUUAAGGAAAAUAAUCCUACACUAUUGGAAAAUUAUCAUAGAUAAAUAUUGAUCCAAUAUAUUAUUGUACUCUACUAACCACGAAACGAUAUUGAUUUUUCCUACAAAUUAUAUCAUGGGCUAAAUCUUGCUUUUCCCUACCAAAAAAAAAAGUGCAGAAAGAAUAUUUGUAAGCUAAAAUAUAUACAUUUUCCCAACAAUUAUUUUGUUGGCUAAACCUUGUUUUUUCUCUAAAAAUAAUUUUUCGUAGGGAAAGCAUAUAUGUUGGCUACUAUAUUAAUUUUUAACCAUAUUCAAAAUAAUAUAGAGAUGUAGAAAAAAGAAUAAAUUAAUUAAGACGUGUAGUAUCAAUUAACGUAACAUUGAAUCCAAAAUAUUUCCAUUCACUAAGUAUGGUUACAUUCGGAGUUAAAAAUAAUAUAACAAAUAUCCUUUGCAUCUAUUAUGCACCUAAAAACAUAACUCUUUAUGUGACGAAUUAGAUAUGGAGUUGAUCCUCACCAAAGUAAUCAUGUUUGCCCUCAAUAGCAUUAUUUUUUCUCAUUAGCAUUAAUCUCUAUUAACAAUAGUAGAUUGAUGCCAAGACUACAAAGUACAAUUGAAUUGUUACUUAACGACUUUCGUCUUUUUUUGCAUCCUUUGCUCCAUCUUUGAUAGAGUUGCAUAUUUUACUUUUUGAGCAGCGCAUUUUGCUUCUAACUCCUUCUCCGUAUUGUGUACACUAGAAGAAGAUAUCUCAAUUUCUUGACAGCAACCAUCUCCCAACCCACGAAUUUGAUGUUUGGGCUUUGAACCUAGAAUGGACAUCAUGAUAUUAACUCUAGUCUUAGGAUCUUCUACAUAUAUCUCCUCUAAAGGGGUAUCUUCGAAAAAUUGCUGCUCCUUUACCUUUUCUACAAGAUAUUCAUAAUCUUUGAAAUGCAUCUCAUUCUACAAACAGAACCCACAGGAGAUAUAAAAUUGCCCAUAUUAUUAAAAUAUGGAAGAGAUAUACUACAACUAUACACAAGAAAUGUAGCACUUGAUAAAUAAAUAAAAACAGUUACAGGGCCUAUUUGUUAGUGAUUAUGAAUCAAUUUUUUGACCAUUAGAGGGAAAAAGUGAAUCCCACAUAUAAGUGAAGAGGUCAAAAAUGACGGUUGACUAUUGGAAGUAAUUGUCAAAAAAUUGAGUUUUGGGGGUAAAAAGUCAUAACCAAAGGAGGGCAUAAUGUUUAGUCUUUCUUACUUGUUGAGCCUCGGCUACAUUAUAAGUCCAACACUUGUUCUUCCUUGCAUAAAUGAACUUGAAAGGGGUCAAUUUUAGGAAAACAAUUAUGCUUCAUACACUAUAUUUGAAUUAUUAGAAAAAUUAUUUAAUUUAGAACAUGUUGAUGACAUAUAAGUUCACUACGUCUAUCAUCUCCUUCAUAAUGUAUGAGAAAGGACAUGAACCAGUACAAUGAUUGUACUUUUUCUUCGAUCAAUUCACUAUGUUCAGUGAUUAUGCUUUCUGCAAAGAAAAGAAUGUAGUUAUUAUAUAACAAUAUCGAGAAGAAAAGCUUUGAACUAGUAAAUAGUUAUAAAAUAAAUACAUUUAACUUAUCGGAAAUUGGAAUAAUUACACAAUUACACCCAUUGAUCUAUACCUCUAUCAAGCAUCACCAUAUUAGAGCAAUAUCGAGAAGAAAAGCUUUGAACUAGUAAAUAGUUAUAAAAUAAAUACCUUUAACUUAUCGGAAAUUGAAAUGAUUACAGAGUUACACCCAUUGAUCUAUACCUCUAUCAAGCAUUCCCAUAUUAGAGUUAUUGCACAAAAAAGCCACUGAUAUUAGCCAUAUAUAUAUAUUCUCAAAAUGAGAUAUUUGAUCAUGAAUGGAAAGUUAUUUCUUCUAGAAUUAAUAGAAGAAAUGAAUUUAAAACUAAUCAGUUUACUGAUGUCAGAAUUUUUAGAAAAAAAUUUCGAAAAACUUUUUUCAAAAGAAGAAAUAGAAUCUUUUUAGGAAGAUUUUUUUAAAUUUCCCAAAGAAUAAAAUUUUUUAAGUGGGCAUAUUUCUAAGUUUUUAAUAAAAUACUCACUUCAAAAAAAAAAGAAAAAGAAAAAACUAUUCAAAAUACAAAUACUCCAAAAAAAGAUUUGGAAAACUUCUUCUAAUAAAUCUAUUCAAUCAUCUCAUCCUCCUUUGCAAGAGAUAGUAGAUGGAAAUACUGAAAUUCUUUCUUCUCAUCUUAAAAAGAUAUCUGAAGACCUGAUGAAUCUCAAGUUGCUGCUAAAGAUAUAAAAAAUAUUCAAUCUCAAAAUAAUUAAACUAAUGUAGUUCUUUUGUUACACUUCACUCGUUUAUAGUCAAAGUCAAGAAAUGAUAUAAUCAAAGUUAGGUAAUUCAACUUGUCAAAGUCAAAGCCAAAUAAGGACUUAAGUUGUAGAAAAGAUUUCAUGGGGCCUAAUUUAUAAUUACUCAUACUUAAAAAGGGUCAGAAAUAAUACCAAAUAUGAAUUUAGAGAUUUAAUGUUUUAUUAUUAUACUUAAAGGACUAAAUGUUAUAUUAUAUGAAGAUUUGGGACUUGAGUUGCAAUUAUACAAUAUAAAAGGAUAAGUAAUCCCUUUCUGUCAUUUAGGGAGACAAUUUCAUAUACUAGAAGUCUACAGAAACGAAGCAGAAGAGAAGGAAGGAAGGAAGAAAAAAGAAAAACAAGAAGAGCAGGAAGAAAAAGAGGUUAUUGAGGAAGAUGAAAUAUGGACUCAAAUAUAAGGUUCUUCAUUUCUUCUAUUCCAAGAGGUAAGAAAACACAUUGUUGUUCAAUAUUGCUAAAUUUGACUUUGUAAUUAAUGGCUUGUCUUUAAAGAUUUGGAAGAGAGAUUAGGUAAUGGAGUUGAAUAUUUGUUUAAGUAAAAUUUUGAAAUGGGUUUAUGAGAUAAAGGCAUUCUUCCAUUUUCUUGUGAUUUUGUGGUGCUAAAACGAUUAAUGUAAGGAUUUGAAGUUGGAUUUAUCAAUUUUAGAGCAAUUUUAAGCUAUUUUCGAGCAAUUGUAGUACACAAGUGUUAAUUCCGAAAUUUUGCCCCCCGAAAAGUGCUAUUUCUAUUAAUGGUUUUGAUGCCAGAUUUCAAUAUAUUCUGGAACUUUAGUGCUAAUUUUGUCAAACCUUGGAUUUCCAGAUUUUUAAAUGUUUGAAUGAAUUUAUAUGACAUAUAUUGAAGUCUAUGUAUUGGACUAACUAUGUAUAAAGUUUGUAUAGUAUAUGUAUAAGGUAGUGAUUUUAUGAAAUUAUAGUGAUUUAAUGGAAUUGAUGAUGUUUCGUGAUUUGUUAGUAAAUAAUUGAAGAGAUGAAAAUUUAAAGAACGAUCGUGCUACCUGCACAGGCUCUUUUGCACAGAGCUUGUAUAGGUGCACACACAUGGGGUGUACCCCACACAUGGGGUCCACAUGUGGAGUCCAUCUCCAUGUGAGAGCCCCUGACAAAUCUUAAAUAUCACUUUGUUUAUCUUCAACGUGUAGGUUAACUUCUCCCUCUUACAGUGGUCUACCCCCAUUUAGUUUCUCCAUAUUUGUAUAAAUAUGAGAUCCAUAUUUGGUAGCUAAUACCUGAGAAGCUAAUGAAAUAGACAUAAACCUUGCAAUAUUUCUUCCAAUGAGCUUUCAUUCUAUAACAAAGACAAGGAUCAUUAGAUUUGAUAUUGUCCUUUGCUCAGACUGUUUUAACCAUAUUGAAUGCUUUCUCAAAGUCCCUUUAGAUUUCCUCUUAACACUCUUAGAGGAAUCAAUGGUUUGCCCACUACCAAUUUUGAUAAAGGGCUUAACAGUCCUAAGCAUGUUAAACAACUUAAUGAGUAUGCAUUCAAGCUUAUUCAUAUCAUAAUUCAUAAUUAUUAUGAAUAACUAUAUAACAGAGAUUGCAGAGCUAAGUCAAUACUUAGUUCAUAGUUAAUGAUUGAACUCAAUUGAGACACUUCUCAUGUCAAUCAUCUUCAAUACAUGAGGAUUGACUGAAGAUUCUUUUGUCACUUUGCAUCGGUAUAGUUGUUUGGAAGUCUCAUAUCCUUUCACACAUGAUUAUCAUAUAACUUUUUGUAAUGAAGAAUUAUGUGUUAAUAUCUAUACUCUCAAGUUGUUUUUGUAACUCAGGUGACAUAGUUGCAGAUAUUACAUACGUUGCAGUACUAUUAUCAUCACUGCAUUUAUUAUAGCAGCCACCUCUCCUUAAUCGAGUCAUCACCAGGUGUCUCUGAAAAAUGGCUACUUAAGGACAAUCAACUUUCUGAUGCUUGAGAACAAUUCUCAAAUUACAGUGUCAAUCAAGAAGAUUCAGCUUAGUUGUUGGCAUCCAGUAUGCCAUUUAAAACAUAUGGUUACUCAGGAUUCAAUAUAAAUGUAAAUGACGAAAAGGAAAAGAAUAAUAUAUAAAAUGCGACAUGUUAAAUUAAUUAUGCUCCCACUGUUUAAUUAAAAUUUAUGACCCUCUUACAUAAAUUUAUAGAGUCCAUACUUGACUCUCAGUGGGCUGGGAUCCCAUCUAUUAUAUUAAAAUCUUGAGUAUACUCAACAAGCCUUAAUAUAACUUUUGGGUAUAUACUAUUAUCAAUUGUAUCUCCAUACAACUCCCAGAUCAUUAAGCUGGCUACUCUUUGUUUUCACACAUCUUAUGUGUUAGCUUAAUAUGCCUCUAAAAUUUAUCUCUUUGAGUGUACUCAACAAAAGAUAAAUUUUAGUUAAGUCAAACCCGUCAUUCAGAAAUAUCAAAUAUUUCAUAGUGUCAAACAUAUCCCUAAUGGACCAGCCUUGAGUGUACUCAACAAGCUGAGACGAUUUGGAACUCUGGUUUUUCACUAUAAUGAUAGAAGGCGAUUAUAAAUGUGAUUUACUAUUUUAUGGAGGGAUUUUGCUUUCAAAGGUCUCAUCAUAACAAUAAUAUAUAUUUUAUUAUACAUCUACCAUGCAAAUAAAUAAAUAUAACAUAAUAUAAUAGUGUGGACGAUUAUGGACUUUUACUAUCUAGUCUUCCCGAAUCAUAAGGAAGACUAGUUGAUCAAUUCCUAGGGAGUAUAGCAUUGAACAGUAUCAAUGCACCAUCUCCAUGGUCUCCUCCUCCUCUUGUUUCUCAAUUAGUCCAGCUGCAACUUGUAUCAUAUACUAGUUGGCACGCAGGCCUAAAUGAAAUUGGACUCGUAGGUCCAUAGCAAUAAUAACAAUAACGGACUCGCAUGUCCAAAAUGAUUAAGAGUUCGCAGGCUCAUAACUCGACAAGAUUAAAAAAUCAACCAUUCAACACAUCCAUAUGGUCGAGUCCAUAAUUAUCCACUAAUAAAGCAUUUAUCACAUAAAUGAAUACUUAUAUAAUAUCUAAUAUUAUAUGCAAACACGUUUCAAGUUUCUAGCAAUUAAGGUCGUCUAAACUCUUUUAGACAAAUGGAUUGGAACAAUUAAAUAAUUAAUUAAUCAUAUUAAUCAAUCAAUUUAAUUAGUGAUCAUAUUUAAUUAAAAUCAAAUUUUAAUUAAAUAUUGAAUUAGAGUCCAACUCUAAUUCAACAAUUAUAGGACUGGCUAUUUAAUUAAAAUCACAUUUCAAUUAAAUAUCAAAUUAGAGUCCAACUCUAAUUUCAUAACUUAAGGCAGUUGAAUUUAAUUAAAAUCAAAUUUCAAUUAAAUAAUAAAAUUAGAGUCUAACUCUAAUUCCAAAAAGAAAUUUAGGGCGAGAAAAUUUAAUUAAAAUCAAAUUUUAAUUAAAUGUGAAAUUAGAAUCCAAUUCUAAUUACAAGAAUAUAUUCGGGUGAAUAAUUAAUUAAAAUCAAAUUUUAAUUAAGUGUUAAAUUAGAGUCAAAGUCUAAUUUCAAUUGAAUCAAUAUUUUAAUUUAGGAUAACACUCCUAAAUAAAAUAAAAUUCAAUUUAGGGUCAAAUUUAAUAUUUAAGUUAAAAUCACAUUUUAACGAAAAUAUAAAAAGCCGUAAAUUUUAAACUAAACUUUCAAUUUGGGUCAAAAUUAAAAUAAUAGGCCAAACCCAUUAAAAUACAAUUUUAAAACCAUUUUAAAAAUUCAAAUUCAAAACAAUUUUGAGAUUUGCAAAUUGACCCAAGUUUCAAAUUACAAACAAAACCCUUCAAUUUUCGAAAUUGCAAAUAUGCCCUUCUUCAGAAAAUUACAUUUAACCCCUUUUAUAAUAUUGCAAGCGGGAUCCUACAAUUUCAAAAUUUGCAAUGAGGCUCCCACCUCCAAAUCUUAGUCACCCGACUAAAAAACCCUAAGAAUUAAAUUUUUUUUGUUGGCGCCGGCAUCGCCGGUCGGCACCACAAUAAUGCCCCGUGGUAGGAGCCCAGGUGGCUCCUGCCGCUAUAGCAGCGUGAAAAUGCUGCUCACAUUGCAAGGCAGCGGUGCCUGCUGCCACUCCAGUUCGCCGCUGCCACGUCCCUAUCCAAUCCAAAAAAUAUAUUUUUAUUUUAUUUUAUUUUCAGUCGUGAAAUCAUAUUUUAUAAAAAAUUAAGAAAACAAAUUUUCUUUAAUUGCUAGAAACAUGAAAAAUAUGUACAAUCAACAUUUGAUUAUUCAAUCAUGCAAAUCAAUUCCUAACAAGCACAAAGUAGGUUCUGAUACCACUGUUGGAAAUCUACUUAACAUACACGGGGGAGAAUUAAAACAGAUUUCGAUUCCCACCAAGAAUUGCCUUUAUGUUUAGAUAGAAAUUGUGAUAAGAUUAUACCUUUUUCAGAUCUGCAAACUUCUUUGCUAUUCUUUUCGUUCCACCAAUCUUGAUUCGCCACCCAUAGCUGUCCAAUUAUCCAGCCUCCAACGAUGAUCCACACAGAGAACAAGAUUGCAGGUACCAGAGUUUUCUCCUCUUGUGCUAGCAAGAAUAAUUAUGAGAAAAACAUAUGAAUUGAAAACCCUAGCCAUGUAUUUAUAUAAGCCCAAACGGGUCUGGCCUAGUCCGGUCUAAUAUUUAAUUAAUCCAUUUAAUUAAAUCCGGUCCGUGAAUUAAUUAAUCCAAUUAAUUAAUUCGGGCCCAUAAAUAACCAAACCAAUUAAUUAAUUAAUUUAUCCAACGAUUGUUAAAUUAAUUAAUUGACAAUUGCAAUUUUUCAAUUCUCUUUUGUGUACUACCCAUCAGGUUCACGAUCAAGAUGUCUAACGACGUGAAAUAUUAUUUUGAUCUAAUCAAAAUUGAUAAAUUAAAACACCCUUUUAAUUUAUCAUCAAUUCACACUGGCCGUCCCAGAUUGACAUCUAACAAUGUGUCAGGGCAAUACAUGUGACGGGAAAUGUCAAGUGGUAUGACAAAACCAAACUCGUUUGUUUACCGUGAAACUAUAAUCCUUCGUCAAUAUGAUCCGAUCAAUUACGAGAUCUGGAAGUAUGUCAAUCUCGAUUAUCGAUCAUAUCUUUCACUCCAUUAUUAAGUCAAUAUAAGUCGAAAACUCUUUUUCGACUUAUGAGUACACCUUGGCCGAGAAUUUAAUUAUUGGCUUAAUUGAAUAAAGCGCAGAUCAUAAUCUCUUACUAUCUAAGAGUGACGAAUCCUCUAUUUGGUCAUUUACAACCUUCAUAUGAUUGUUGACAUACCCGAACGAUGUCGAAUUGGCAACCCUUGGCAGAGCAACAUCCAACACCAUCAAAGCAUGACUGUCCUCAUAUAAGGUACUAUGACGACCUCAAGUCAAAAUGACCAAUCCCACUAUCGAACGUUAGAGAUUAACCACUGACACUCAGAUAGUUAUCCAUGUGGAAUCUCUCGACGGGUCUUCAAUGUUUUGUUCUAUAACAAAACAUCCACCUGUUCAUUUAAGUGUCACCACACUUUAGCUUGUGAGAUCAGCUACUUACUUCAUUAGUAAGAAAUGCCACACGUGAUGGUCUAUCCAUAAUAAUGAUAUCCAUAUCUCCUUGUUAUUUACGACCACGGAUGAUUUAAGAUUCAAUCAAAUGUAAUAUGUAUUUCACAAUUACAACUCCUUGUGAUUAACAAAUUACGAAGAUUUGAAUCUACGGACUCUAUUAUUUAUUUAAUUGACUAUUAAUUAAAUAAUAGAUCUGCCAUUAAAUUGCAUUAAUUAUAUAUCAAAAGUAUUUAUGUCCAAAGUUGAUUGGACCUAGGGCAUAAUACUUAUAUCAAAGCCCCACUAAAGGUAGAAAUUCGCAAAGAACUUGUUGGGACCGAUGGAAACGAAAUGCAAAAUUGAGAUUUAAUGGACACCAAUUUGAAGUAUAAUACAAUAUCACAAAAUAUCACGAACAUGAUUAAAGUAAAAGAUGAAUUAAGCAGAGGAACGACGAAUUUUAUUAAUAUGGAGAGAAUUACAACUGGACAGCAAUGAUGCUUCAAUAGAACUGACAGAGGGGCCUUGUAUUUAUAGUACACUUGGUCUAGCCCUAAAAAAGUCCCAAAAAGGUAGAAAUAUAUAAUUCAAUUGGACUCCUAUUUGAGUCACACUUCUAACAGAACUACCACACUAAGAGCUCCAAGAGAAUAAGGAGAUGGUGGAGUCCAAGAAGCAAUCAUGUUUAUGAUUUUCUCAUUACCUCGCACUUCAAUUCUAGAUGGACUAUAUAUCAUUACUAUUAUUUUUAUUUUUAUUUUUAUUUUUAUUAGUAUAAAAGAAAUACAUUUUGGAAAAUGAAACCACCGAAUUGGAGACAUCAGAAAAUUCAGGAGGAGAAUGGAAUUAUGUGAUGCUCUGAACAGUCUAGUAAGUCUUGGUAAUGGAGAUUUGGUUGAAAACCUUAAACUAAUCUUGGGGUAAAAUUUUGAUGAAGAUGAAUUCAUGAGUAGUGAUUCUUUGAUGCAAGCUAAAAUUGAUGAUUUCAAAAUCGAAAUACAUUCGAAAAACUAGUGAAAAUAGCGAAAUGACUUGCAUCCUUAAGGAUUAAAAUAAGAUUCUAGAAUUGAUAUGUGUUGAAGAUGAAGUAUUGAACCACCUCGAAUGAGAAAUUGCAUCCUUUGUGGUAUCGAAUUUGGAUUCAACAUAUUCUGAAUUCACCACUGCUGAUUUUAUUAUAUAGAGUCUUGCAAUGUAAAAGAAAAUCGUGCAUCAUGAAGUGAAAAAUAAAACUAGCAAAAUUUAUAAAAAUUAGGGGUGAGUAUUACUAAAGCCACAUGGUAAAAUGUUCCUUCACACAUAUAUGAGAGAAGUGGGCCUAAGCAAGCAGGUGGAGCUCAAGGGAUUGGAAUCUUAAAUCACUUGAUUCAACGAGGGAGAACCAAGCCAUUGCUAGUUCCAGUGUUGCAUGCUUGAUCAUUCUACAUUUCGUCAAUUGAUUCCAUUGCCUUCCAUCUGCUAUCGUCCAUCAAAUCCCUCACUUUUUAUAUAUAGAAUUUGGGGACGAAUACAAUACAUCGUGUAAGUUAUCCCUAACAAAAUCAUUCAUCCACUAAAUUUAAUUUUGCCUGUCAAUAAAAUGUAAAUUGCAUAUAAUAAAGUCUUGUGAAUAUUACAAAGUAGAAGACCCUAUUUAUAGGGCUACAAAUAACUGUAAAAGGAAAUAACGUAAAAUGAAAGAUUGUGUAAUAAUUUCACAAUCAAUUAUUAAGGAAAAUAAUCCUUCACUAUUGAAAAAUUAUCAUAGAGAAAUACUGAUCCUAUAUAUUAUUGUACUCUACUAACGUCCCCCUCAAAUUGAUGCUAGUAAAAGCAUCAAUUUGCAAUCGCGAACUGGAUGCGCUUUCGAGUCAACAUUUUUGUAAAACCCAUAAACCAAGAACUCAACAUUGCUGAACUUCAAAUCCAAGAACUGAUUCAAAACUCGAUAUGAUUCUCGGCAAAGAAUCAAUGUCCGACCAGAAACUGAUGACACUAACAAAUCAUCACCAAAACACUGAAUGCUCGCACCACACUUGAUGCACCGAAGAGUCACACGUUAACAAAAAUUGUGUCAACCAUAGACAACUACAAGAAAUUCAAACCUAAAAGGCUAAGUUAUGCCCAAAGAGAAUUGAAGAUUCAACCACUCCAAAGAUAGUCCAGAGAACACACUCCCCAAGAAGAAUUUUCAAAAGAAAUUCACGAAGUAUGCCGACCCACACAGUGAACUUUAUCUAUUGGGAGAACUCAAUCGAACACAUAAUUCAUGUUCCGACAAAAGCUCUAAUGUCAAUACACUAGCCGAAAUUCAGUAAUAUUGCUGACCAAGAAGCUGUAGGUAGAAGAAAUCCCACCAAACAACUUACACUAAAAAAUGUCAAUUGAACUUGACAUACCAAUUCCAAAAUCCAGCUAUGCCAAAUUCCAAAUUCCAAAUACAUUGGACCAACACCAAACCAAAUUCGAGAUGAAACUGGACAUAUACAAAACCAAAUUCUCAAUCCCAUAAACUGGGCACAUACCAAAUCAAAUUUCCAAUCCCAUGAACUGGGCAAACACUAAACCAAAUUUUCAAUCCCAGGAACUGGGCAUACACCAAAUCAAAUUUCUAAUCCGUUUGUUAUCUUGUAAUCCACCCCAAAUUAUCAAGUUUUUGCCAUCAUCAUCAUAUCCCGAAUAAUUUGUCCAAUACACUAAUAACAGCCCAAAUCAAUCACCCCACAAAAGAAACCAAAAUGCUGUCCAAACAAAUUUUACCCAAAAUCAACCCAUACAUAAAAUCAUGCUUAGAAUUUGUUAUUUUUAAUUUUUUCAAAGGAACAAAACUGAUUAAUUCUUGCAAAAAUCCCACAACAAUGUUUAGCUCAUCUCUCUUUACAAAAGCAUCAAAUUUGAAGACUUGAACAGGCAACAAAAUCACAAGCUACUUAUCACUUCAAACUAUAUCUAGACAAUAGCAUUGGCAGCACUCGCAAUUCUAGAGAAGAAAAGAUCCAAAAAGAUAAGCAAGAAAAGUUCCCACAUAUCAUAGACCCAAUUAAUCACAAGCAUACAAUUCACAAAAUCCAUGAACCCAACAUCAUAGCCCAACUUAUUACCCCCAAGCCCAACCAUCCAUAUAACGCAGCCCAAAAUACCAAACCCAAAAUAAUAACCUAAAGCCUUAACCUAAUAGCCCAUAACCUAAUUAGCCCGACCCAUAAUAAAGCCCAACUAACAAUGACCCAUCUAAUCGGUCCAGAACACCAUAUGGACCAACAAAAACAAACAACCCAUAUCUUAGUCAAAACCCACUUUCUCGAAAAUUAAAUUACAUGGCCGAACUAAACUCCAACGCCAAUUAAAUUACCUAGCCUACAAAAAAAAAAAGUCAAAUUCGGCAGACCCAUCAACCUAGCUGCUCAACCCUCAACAUUCAUCUUCUAAAAACUGUUGGCUCUCAAAUCCUUGACUCUGGUUUGCGCCACCACAAAAAUGACGAUCCACUUGUUUUUGGAGCCGCACUUUUAAAAUCCCCAAACUUGUCCAUAAGACCACUCUCCUUGCUCCCUUUAUUCUCUGAUUCCAUACUACAAAUUGGCUUAGAGCGAAAAUAAACCAAAGAUUAUUUUCGAAAACAGUAAAAAUGGGGGCCAAAAUCUGGAAGGAAAAGGUCAUAAAAAAUGAAGCCACCGUCCACUUCUUCAGUUAUAAGCACCCACCGUCCAAACAAAGCACCCACUUUCUUUAUUUUAAGUCCAACCACCCAUAUUUUCUAGCUCAUUCAGUGCUUUCCUCUCCCCUCUAUGCGAACAUAUAAAAAAGUUUUGAUCACCGAAUGAGCGGCACAAGGCCGCUCAUCGGAGAACGAAACUUUGCAAGUUUAACCCAAGAUUAAACUUGCUCUGAUGCCAUGUCAAUAAAAUUGUAAAUUGUAUAUAAUAAAGUCUUGUGACUAUUACAAAGGAGAAGACUGUGUAACAAUUACACAAUCAAUUAUUAAGGAAAAUAAUCCUAUACUAUUGGGAAAUUAUAAUAGAAAAAUAUUGAUCCAAUAUAUUAUUGUACUCGACUAACCAUGAAACGAUAUUGAUUUUUCCUACAAAUUAUAUCAUAGGCUAAAUCUUGCUUUUCCCUACCAAAAAAAAAAAGGUGCAGAAAGAAUAUUUGUAGGCUAAAAUAUAUACAUUUUCCCAACAAUUAUUUUGUUGGCUAAACCAUGCUUUUUCUCUAAAAAUAAUUUUUCGUAAGGAAAGCAUAUAAGUAGGCUAUUAUUUUAAUCUUUAACCAUAUUCAAAAUAAUAUAGAGAUGUAGAAAAAAGAAUAAAUUAAUUAAGACAUUUAGUAUCAAUCAACGUAACAUUGAAUCCAAAAUAUUUCCAUUCACUAAGUAUGGUUACAUUUGGAGUUAAAAAUAAUAUAACAAAUAUCCUUUGCUUCUAUUAUGCACCUAAAAAACAUAACUCUUUAUGUGACGAAUUAGAUAUAGAGCUGAUCCUCACCAAAGUAAUCAUGUUUGCCCUCAAUAGCAUUUUUUUUCUCAUUAGCAUUAAUCUCUAUUAACAAUGGUGUAAAUGAUGGUACAACGAAGCAAGAAAAUUUACUACAUAGCUCGUGCUUAGAGUGAUGCCAAGACUACAAAGUACUAUUGAAUUGUUACUUAACGACUUUCGUCUUGUUUUGCAUCCUUUGCUCCAUCUUUGCUAGAGUUGCAUAUUUUACUUUUUGAGCAGUGCAUUUUGCUUCUAACUCCUUCUCCGUAUUGUGUACAUUAGAAGAAGAUAUCUCAAUUUCUUGACAGCAACCAUCUGCCAACCCACGAAUUUGAUGUUUGGGCUUUGAACCUAGAACGGACAUCAUGAUAUUGACUCUAGUCUUAGGAUCUUCUACAUAUAUCUCCUCUAAUGGGGUAUAUCUUCGAAAAAUUGCUACUCCUUUACCUUUUCUACAAGAUAUUCAUAAUCUUUGAAAAGCAUCUCAUUCUACAAACAAAACCUAUAGGAGAUAUAAAAUUGCCCAUAUUAUUAAAAUAUGCAAGAGAUAUACUACAACUACACACAAGAAAUGUAGCACUUGAUAAAUAAAAAAAAAAAGUUAUAAGGCCUAUAUGGUAGUGAUUAUGAAUCAAUUUUUUGACCAUUAGAGGGAAAAAGUGAAUCCCACCUAUAAGUGAAGAGGUCAAAAAUGACGGUUGACUAUUAGAAGUAACUGUCAAAAAAUUGAAUUUUUGGAGUAAAAAAUUAGAACCAAAGGAGGGCAUAAUGUUUAGUCUUUCUUAAUUGUUGAGCUUCUCGGCUACACUAUAAGUCCAACACUUAUUCUUCCUUGCAUAAACAAACUUGAAAGGGGUCGAUUUUAGGAAACCUCGAACUAUCGUAAUAGCAAACAAUUAUGCUUCAAACACUAUAUUUGAAUUAUUAGAAAAAUUAUUUAAUUAAGAACAUGUUGAUGACAUAUAAGUUCACUACAUCUAUCAUCUCCUUCACAAUGUAUGAGAAAGGACAUGAACCAGUACAAUGAUUCUACUUUUUCUUUGAUCAAUUCACUAUGUUCAGUGAUUAUGCUUUCUGCAAGGAAAAGAAUGUAGAUAUUAUAUAAAAAUAUCGAGAAGAAAAGCUUUGAACUAGUAAAUAGUUAUAAAAUAAAUACCUUUAACUUAUCGGAAAUUGAAAUGAUUACACAGUUACACCCAUUGAUCUAUACCUCUAUCAAGCAUCCCCAUAUUAGAGUUAUUGCACAAAAAAACCACUAAUAUUAGCCAUAAAUCAAUAACCACAUAACCAAACACUCAAAAAGUAAAAGAUUUUGAUUAAAAAAAUUGAAAAAGUGUGAAAUUUUGCAAAAGAGGGAUUAGGAAAAUCUCACCAGCUUCACCAGAGGGCAUGAGAUGUGAGCAGUUCUUCAUAUUCAAAAAAAUAUAGAAGCACUUGGAUUUAUCAUCUCAUCAGAUAAAUAGAAGAAGCGAAUUUAAAACUAAUCAGUCUACUGAUGUCAGAAUUUUUAGAAAAAAAUUUCGAAAAACUUUUUUCGAAAGAAGAAAGAGAAUCUUUUUAGGAAGAAUUUUAUAAAUUUCCCAAAGAAUUAAAUUUUUUUAGUGGGCAUAUUUCUAAGUUUUUAAUAAAAUACUCACUUCAAAAAAAGAAAAAACUAUUCAAAAUACAAAUACUACAAAAAAUAUUUGGAAAACUUCUUCUGAUGAAUCUAUUCAAUCAUCACAUCCUCCUUUGCAAGAGAUAGUAAUUCCAGAUGGAAAUACUGAAAUUCUUGCUUCUCCUCUUAAAAAGAUAUUUGAAGACUCACCUGAUGAAUGAUAGUUGUUGCUAAAGAUAUAAAAAAUAUUCAAUCUCAAAAUAACUAAACUAAUGUAGUUCUUCUAUUACACUUCACUCGUUUAUAGUCUACGUAAAAAAAAGAUAUAGUCAAAGUUAGGUAAGUCAACUGGUCAAAGUCAAAGCCAAAUAAGAACUUAAGUUGUAGAAAAGAUUUCAUGGCGCCUAAUUUAUAAUUACUCAUACUUAAAAAGGGUCAGAAAUAAUACCAAAUAUGAAUUUAGAGAUUUAAUGUUUUAUUAUUAUACUUAAAGGACUAAAUGUUAUAUUAUAUGAAGAUUUGGGACUUGAUUUGCAAUUAUACAAUAUAUGUCCACUUAAAGGAUAAGUAAUCCCUUUCUGUCAUUUAAGGAGACAAUUUCAUAUACUAGAAGUCUACAGAAACGAAGCAGAAGAGAAGGAAGGAAGGAAGAAAAAGAAAAAAAAGAAGAGGGGGGAAGAAAAAGAGGUUAUGGAGGAAGAUGAAAUAUGGACUCAAAUAUAAGGUUCUUCAUUUCUUCUAUUCCAAGAGGUAAGAAAACACAUUGUUGUUCAAUAUUGCUAAAUUUGACUUUGUAAUUAAUGGCUUGUCUUUAAAGAUUUGGAAGAGAGAUUAGGUAAUGGAGUUGAAUAUUUGUUUAAGUAAAAUUUUGAAAUGGGUUUAUGAGGUAAAGGCAUUCUUCGAUUUUCUUCUGAUUUUGUAGUGCUAAAACACUUAAUGUAAGGAUUUGAGGUUGGAUUUAUCAAUUUAGAGCAAUUUUAAGCUAUUUCCGAGCAAUUGUAGUACACAGGUGUUAAUUCUGAAAUUUUGCCCCCCGAAAAGUGCUAUUUCUGUCAAUGGUUUUGAUGCUAGAUUUCAAUUUACAAAAAUUGGUGCCAGAUUUCUAUAUUCUGGAACUUUAGUGUUGUUUUUGUCAAACCUUGGAUUUCCAGAUUUUUAAAGGUUUGAAUGAAUUUAUAUGACAAAUAUUGAAGUCUAUGUAUUGGACUAACUAUGUAUAAGGUUUGUAUAGUAUAUGUAUAAGGUAGUGAUUUUAUGAAAUUAUAGUGAUUUAAUGGAAUUGAUGAUGUUUCGUGAUUUGUUAGUAAAUUAUUGAAGAGAUGAAAAUUUAAAGAAUGGUCGUGCUACCUGCAUAGGAUCUUUGCAUAGAGCCUGUACAGGUGCACACACAUGGGGUGUACCCCCACACAUGGGGUCCAUCCCCAUGUGAAAGCCCCUGUACAGGGCCUGUGCAAGAGGCUUUUUCCUUUAAAGAAAUAGAAAGGCAAGAAUAAAUAUAGAAGUUAGGGGAAUUACGUGGUAGAUUUGUAUUAGUUUAAUUGUUAGAUUUUAAUUUGAGUUAUUAUAUCGUUAUUUCAGGUAGUGGCUUGAAAGUUUGGAAAUGCCAGUCAAUUUAAUAGAAUUGCUAUCCAUACGUACAUCUGUGAGUGAAAAAACUUAUAUAUUUUCAAAUAGUAAUAAGGUACUUACAGUAUUACAUUACGUGUGAUUAUACAAAUUAUUUGUUUGAUUACAUGAUUAACAUGGAAAGAUUCUUUUACUAUGAUAUAUGCAAAAUUUAAAGUUUGGAUAUGGAUUAUUUGUGAAUUGGAAUGUGAGACAUAUAUGAUAUUGAGAUCGACCAGAAAAGUACCCGUGAUUAUAUACUUCUUGUAAUUCACCGAAAGGCAUUAACCGUGUUCUACACUGCACUGAGAGGUCGACUGAGGAUGAAAAGGUCGUGACAGUGUACAUAUAGUUCAUUGAGGGGUCUUGACCAUGUUCUAGAAUUGAUUAUCAUAUGUCUUUGAGACCCACUUUCGUGCACGGAGGGGGCCAAAGGCCCGUGAUGUUAGAUUUAAUAAGAGGGUACAUUUUUUGUGGAUCACAUGUGAUGUGAUGAGAUGAUGGUAUAGAUAUCAGCUGAUGACUAUAUCGUGAAUAUGAGAUGAUAUUUACAGAAUUAUGAGAAUGUCUCUUUUUUGCUAUAAUUUUAUGAGGCUAUCGUGUGAAUUACUAAACGAUAUAUACUUGAUGUCUAUGUAUGAGAAAAAUGUUUAAAUGAGAAAGUAUAAUUAUUUUCGAAUUCUUCUACUCACUGAGUUAUAAACUCAUAUUUUUCUUAUAGGUACUAUUGGUCCCUGAUAGCUUGAGGAGCCUGGUGGUUUUAGAAUUAGAACCACACAAAAUAUUUAGUGAUACAAUUCAUUAUGGUAAAACAUGAAGCAAUAAUUUCGAUGAUUUUGGCGCAUAUUUUGUCGUAAAUCAUAAUCAGCCUUGUGGUUGAUCUACCAUCUAGUCAGCAUCUAUCAUCGGCACAAGUCACGUUCCUAGUCCAUUAGGGUGAUUCGGGACUAGACGGGUCGUAACAUCUUCAACCUAUGUGUUCUCAACUCAACAGCAUUGAAUUAAAAUUCUGAAACUGAGACACCAUCAAUUUCAAAAACUAUUAAGCCAAUGGAGUCAAUUUUAAUAAACAAGCAUGAGGCUACUCCAAAAAAUUCUAUUAAAACUCAGGUCAAUGUCCUAAAAGAACUAGCAACUUAGUUAUCAAAACUAUCAUCAUCUUUCACUUCAAAUAACAUCAAUACUAUUGAUGAUCAUAAAUCUCAAUUUAUUGAUGAUAAAAUUCAUUAUAUUUUUAAACUUUAAAACAAAAAAGUUCAAUUCUCAAAAGUUCCUCCUUAUUAUCUGAAAAAUACUCCUCCUGGUUUACUUUUUGAAGAAAAGUCCAAAAUCAACACAACAUUUUUUGGCAAUGGUAUAACUGUCUGGAAUAUUGAUGGUUUAACUGAAUAUCAAAAUUUUCAAACUCUUGAAAGAAUAGGUGCUUGCUUUAAUGCUUAUAUUCAAGAAGGUCGAAGCAACAAAUAAUAUUAUUCAAGGUUUUGCUGGACAAAUUAAUAAUCCGUGGUUCAAUUAUAUUACUCAACAAGAAAAUUUUCAAAUUGGUCAAGCUAUAAAACAUGAUGGCUGCAAUGAUAAUUUUAAUACUUUAAUUUUUAGUAUUAUUAAACAUUUUGUUGGUUCUCCAACAGAUGUUAUAGAAAAGAUUUCAAAUAUUUUAAUGACUUUAAAUUGUUCAAGUUUAUAGGAUUUUUGCUGGUAUGAUGAUAUGUUUCUAACACAAGUAUUUUUGCGAAAAGAUUGUAAUCAAACUUAUUGGAAAAAAAGAUUUUUAUCCAGACUUUUAAAAUUAUUUUCUGAAAGAGUUAAAAAUUCAAUAAAAAGGGAAUAUGAGAAUAAUAUUCUAUAUGAUAUUCUUACAUACGAAGAAUUAAUCAGUUUCAUUAACAGAGAAAGAUUAUCUCUCUAUAAUGAAAUUAAACUCAAAUCUAAAUUGCAAUCAGAAAGAUUAGACAGUCAAAGAGAACUAGGAUCUUUCUGUGAAUAAUAUGGACUUGAGAAAAUAAUUCCACCUUCAAAAUUAAAAAGAAAAAUAUUUUCAAAAAGAAAAUUUUAUUCAAAUGAAAAGAAUUUCCAAAAACCUUCUUAUUCAAAAAAUUAUUCUAAAAGGAAAUUUUAAAAAAGAAAAUUUUCAAAAAAAAAAAUAAUGUUGCUUGUUGGAAAUGUAGAAAGCGAAUAAUCUUCAAAUAGACGAAGAUAUUAAAUUUGAACUCCUCAAUCUUAUCGAUUCAGAUUAAAGUUCUAAUGAAGAAAACAUUUCUGACUUAGAACAUGUUUAUCAACAUCAAGAAGAUUAUGAUGUUGAAUCCAAUUCAAAUUCUUCCUUCUCUUCAAAGCAAAGUAGAGAACUUUAUGGUUGUAAUACUAUAAAUGUUCUUACUAAACAAGAAGAACUUAUUAAAGAGAUUGUUGAUCAAAUUGAAGAUCCAUUGCUCAAAAAUAAAAUUAAUUCUCUUUUACCUUCAAAUUCAAAAGUUGAACAUUUUAAUAUGCAAAAUGUUUUAAAUCAUUUUUAAAAUUCAAAAUCCUCUAGUUCUGAUCUAAAGUUAGAAAUCGAUUCAAUGGAAUCUCAAAUUUCUAUUCUUGAACGUCAAAUGAAAGAUGUUCGAAUAGAAGUUGCACUUCUCAAAACUCAAAAUUUGAAACAAAAAUAAAAAAAUUCUUCGUCCUCCUCUUCUAGGUCUUUUGAUGAAGAAUUUAUUCCUCCUAAUCUUCAAUCUGAAGAAGAAAUAGUUAAUGUUAUUAAUUGUAUUCAAUUUAAAAAAUGGUAUUGCAAUAUGACUAUUGUGGUCAAUAAAAAAUUCAAAUUUACUUCUAGAGUCUUUACUGAUUCUGGAGCUAAUAAAAAUUGUAUAAGGGAAGAACAUAUCCCUACAAAAUAUUUUGAAAAAAUUACUGAACAUUCUUACAGUGCCAUUGGUUCAGUAGUAAAAAGCAUAAAAUUUAAUAUAAGCUUUCAAAAGCUUAUGUUCGCAAUUCAAACAUUUGUUUCAAAAAUAUAUUUUAUCUCGUUAAAAAUAUAUAUCAAGAAGUAAUUCUUGGUACUCCUUUUUAUUGUUCAAAUAUAUCCUUUACAAGCUAAUUCAAAAGGCUUAACUACAAAUAUUUUUUGUCAAGAAAUUUGUUUUAAAUUUACUAAUCCUCCUUUUUAUAGAGAUCUAAACUCUUUAAAAGAAGCAUCUAUUUCAGAAAUUAUUAAUAAUACAAAUCUUAAAAAAAACCAUAUUAAAUUUCUUAAAGAGGAAAUUAAAUUUCAAAGAAUUAAAAAAUAAUUACAAAAUCCUUCAAUUGAAAGAAAAAUUUCAAAUUUUCAAGAACAUAUUGACAAAAAAAUUUGUUCAACUGUUCCAAUAGGAAGAAACACAUUUUUUCACUUCCUUAGAAUUCUGAUUUUCAUGAAUCAAAUAUUUAUACAAAAUCUCGUCCUCUUCAAAUGAAUAAAGAACUUUAAGACCAUUGCAUCAAGAAAAUUAAAGAUUUACUUGACAAAGGUCUUAUACGUCCAAGCAAAUCUCAUUGGAGUUGUUCUGCAUUUUAUGUCAAUAAUUCAUCUGAAAUUGAACGAGGUGUUCCCCAUUAAUUAUCACUUAUAAACCUCUCAAUAAAGCUCUUCAAUGGAUUUGAUAUACACUACCUUAAAACAAAGACCUAUUAAAUAGGUUAUUCAAAUAUGUUAUCUUCUCAAAAUUUAAUAUGAAGUCAGGUAUAUGACAAAUUCAAAUUAAAGAAGAAGAUAGAUACAAAACUAGUUUCAAUGUGCCUUUCGAACAAUACGAAUGAAAUGUUAUGCCAUUCGGUCUUAAAAAUGCUCCCUCUGGAUUUCAAAAAAUUAUGAAUGAUAUUUUUUAUCAUUUUUCAAAUUUUAUUAUUAUUUACAUUGAUGAUAUUCUUAUAUUUUCUGAAAGUAUAGAACAUCAUUUUAAGCAUUUAAAUAUAUUUAUUCAUGUUAUCAAGAAAAUGGCUUAGCAGUCUCUGCUAAGAAAAUUGGUUUAUGUCAAAUAAAAAUUAGGCUCCUAGGCCAUAACAAUCAUUUAGGAACUAUUACUCCAAUCCAAAGAAGUCUAGAAUUUGCCAAUAAAUUUCUAGAUGAAACAAGUUUGCAGCGCUUUUUAGGCUGUAUCAAUUAUGUUGCUGAUUUUAUAAAAAAUAUACGUUAAAUCUAUUCCCCACUUUUCAAAAGAUUACCAACAAACACCGACCCAUGGAGUCUCAAGCACAUAGUUGCAAUUCAAAAUGUCAAAAAAACAAUAAAGAAUAUUCCCCAUCUUUCAAUACUUAACCUGGCCUCUAUUAUUGUUGAGAUAGAUGCCUCUGACAUAGGGUAUGGUAGAGUACUCAAAUAGGUUCCAAACCAGUCAAGUCAAGAACAACUGGUUAGGUAUCAUAGUGGUGUGUGGAUCGGCCCUCAAAAGAGUUAUUCCACUAUCAAAAAAGAAAUAUUAUCAAUAGUACUUUGUAUUUCAAAAUUUCAAGAUGAUCUUAUUAAUAAAAAAAUUACUUUGAAAACUGAUUUUAAAACAUCUAAAGAUCUUUUACAAAAAGAUGUCAAAAAUCUUGUUUUAAAACAAUUUUUUGCAAGAUGGCGAGCUAUUUUAUCUUCUUUUGAUUUUGAAAUCCUUUUUUAUACAAGGAAAAUCAAAUGUUCUUGUAGACUUCCCCACAAGAAAAUUCAUACAGAAAAGAGAGAUUUGUGAGAAUUCAAAAUUGACAAAAAAAAGUUCAUGAGUUGGACAGAUGAAGUAGAGAGAAAUAUUCAAAAGAAAAAUCUUCAAUGACUUCAUCUGAAGCUCAAAAUCCUUUUCAAAAUUAAAGUAGUGAAGAGAAAAAUUCUACUCCAUUAUUUUCAAUUGAUGGCCUCUUUAAAGGAUUAUCAUCAAAAUUUGAAGAACAAGCUACUUUUUCUUCUCAAAAUACUCAAAACACAAACCUUUCAACUCUUGUUUUCAAAAAACCAGAUUAUUAUAAAAAAACCUGUUCAAGGUUCUAGAAAACUUACUCAAAUAAACCCUCUCCAACUUUUCAAUAUUUUCACAAAGGAGCCCAUGAACCCAUCUUCGAAAUGGAAAACAUCUUAGCUAAAUAGAUAUAUAUCCCUUGAUGAUUGUCUUUUAAGUAUUUUCCAAAAAAAAAAAAAAAUUGUUUCAUGUCUGCCAAUAUAAAAAAUUCCUGAGAAUAUUAUGAAGCUAACCUUAUGAAAACAGGAUCAGCUCUAAUUUCUCAUACUCCGAAUGAACGAAAUUCAAAUAAAUUUGAUUUUUCAAAAUUUAGUAUUUAAAGAGUGUUGUCAUGCGAAAACUGGGGACAACAACCAUGGGAUGAGAAAAGAAUAAGCCUUUCUAAAGGUGAAUAAUUUGAAUCUCAUUUCAAUUACUUUGAUUGAAGGAUGCUUGGUAUAAUGUCUUUUACUUUGGACCAAUGACUCAUUCUUGGUUUAUUCUUUUCAAUCAAAAUUUUCUAAAAUGGUUUGAAAAUUGGUUCAAAUGUUUUGGAAUUGAAGAGAAGAUCUUACCCAGUCUCACUCUUCAAGGAUCCAAACACUUCAAAAGCGAAGCAAAAUCCAUUUUGAAGCCUCAAGAAAAUCUUUUGAUUCAAUUUGCAGUCAAUUUGAGAGUAUCGUGGAUACUCUGCUUGGACAAUUUUAUCCUUCAAGAUUCGAACUCUGAAUAAUAUACUCAAAAAAUUAUUCGGAGAUUCAAAGUCAAAUGGUGGUCAAAAUUUGGAGAAACAAAUUGUUGUUUAAAAGCAAUUCAAUCAUGGAUUCAAGAACAAAGAAAUAUUAGUGUUCCAAAAAUUUUAAGGAAAAGUUCGAAGAAAAAUGCAGAUUUUCUCACAGAAAAAUCAAGACUUUUGGCCAUGUUCAAUCAAUGCAAAGCGCCAUUUCAAAAAAAAAUAAAUAAAUUGGUUCUUUGGCUAAAACUACAUCAAAGAAAUUAAAGUCAGUUCAAGAAAAUCUUCUCAAUCAGGAUCAAUAUCAAACCAUGCAUAUGGCAACGAAAACAUAUAUGAUGGACCAGAUAUUGAUGACUUAGUUAAUCAAAAGACACAAAAGAAUUCAAAAUGACUAUAUGACCCAGUUAUUUAGAUGAAAUGCAAAAUUAUGGAACCCUAAAGUCAAAAGAGAUAUUAUUUAAAUUUUGUCUACUACCAAACAAAUUAUUUUUACUAGCUUUAUCCACUUUCAAAUGGAUGUAACUUUAUUAAAACCACUUUAAUAAAGCUUUAUUCAAAGUUGGUGAAAUUGUCAAAAGAAAACUCAAUUAAGGGAGACAAAGACAAAAAUUGGUGAAAACUUUUCAAACAGAUGUUGCAAAAUUCAAAAGGUGCAAUAAUUCAAGUUUCUUUUUCAAAUUGAAGAAAUUUUCAAGUUCGGAUUGAAGUGAAAAUAAAAAAAAUAUUGAAUUGAAGAAAUAAUUAUAUUGAAGUAUGAAAAUUGAUAUCACAAGAUAAAAUUUUGAAAUAAAAACAUUGAAUUACAAGAUUGAAAAUUAAGAAAAUUUAAAAAUACAAGAUUUUCUCAAACUAUCUUGAGGCUAAUUUAUCUCCUGCUAAAUCCACUCAGAAGAGAUCUUGAAAUAUUGAUCUGCUUAAAUACUUGAAUUCUUGAGCUCUGGGCUUGAAAAUCUCUUCAAUUUGAAAAAUAAUCUUGAAUUAUCGCACCUUUAAAUUUUGCAAUGUCUUUUUGAAAAGUUUCCAUCAACUAUUGUCUUUGUCUCUCAUAAUUGAGUCUUCUUUUGACAAUUUCACCAACUUUGAAGAAAACUUUAUUAAAGUGCCUUUAAUAAAGUUAUAUCUUCUUGAAAGUGGUAAAGCUGGUAAAAAUAAUUUGUUUGGUGGUAGACAAAUCUUAAAUAAUAUCACUUUUGACUUUAGGACCCAGUAAUUUUACAAUUCAUCUAAAUAAAUUGGUACAUAUAGUCAUUUUGAAUUCUUUUGUGUCUCUUGAUUAAUUAAGUCAUCAAUAUCAUUGUUAUAUGUAUGGUCUGAUAUUGAUCCUAAUUGAUGAGAUUCUUUUUUAACAGACUUCGAUUUCUUUGAUAUAGUUUUAGCCAAAGGAGCAAUUUUUUUCUGAAAUUAUUGCUAAUUCCUCUGGCGCUUUGCAUUGAUUGAACAUGGCCAUAAGUCUUGAUUUUUCUAUGAGAAAAUCUACAUUUUUCUCUAGACUUUUCUUUGGAAUUUUUGGAACACCAAUAUUCCUUUGUUCUUGAAUCCAUGAUUGAACUACUUUUGGACAACAAAUUGUUUCUCUAAAUUUUGACCACAAUUUUACUUUGAAUCUCUGAAUAAGUUUUUAAGUAAAAUAGUCAGAGCUUGAAUCUUGAAGGAUAAAACAUAUCCCAAAAGAAUAUCCAUGAUACUCUUAAAUUGAAUGCAAAUUGAAACAAUUUAAAUUUGAGUUUAAUUUCAUUACAGAGAGCUAAUCCUUCUCUGUUAAUGAAACUGAUUAAUUUUCCGUAGGUAAGAAUAUCAUAUGGAAUAUUAUUCUCAUAUUCCCUUUUUAUUGACUUUUUAACUCUUUCAGAAAAUAAUUUUGGAAGUUCGGAAAAAAACCUUUCUUUCCAAUAAGCUUGAUUACAAUUUUUUUGCAAAAAUACUCGUGUUAAAAACAUAUCUUUGUACCAGCGAAAAUCCUAUAAAUUUGAACAAUUUAAAGUCAUUAAAAUAUUUGAAAUCUUUUCUAAAACAUCUGUUCGAGAACCAACAAAAUGUUUAAUAAAACUAAAAAUUAAAGUAAUAAAACUAUCAUUGGAACCAUCAGGUCUUAUAGCUUGACCAAUUUGAUUUUUUUCUUGUUCAGUAAUAUAAUUGAUCCACCAAUUAUUAAUUUGUCCAACAAAACCUUGAAUAAUAAUAUUUUUUGUUGCUUCAAUAGCAAAAUGACUUCCUUGAAUAUAGGCAUUAAAGAAGCACCCAUUCUUUCAAGAGUUUGAAAAUUUUGAUAUUCGGUUAAACCGUCAAUAAUCCAGACAGUUAUACCACUUUUCUUGAAAAAGUAAAUCAGGAGAAGUAUUUUUUUGAUAUUAAAGAGGAACUUUUGAAAAUUGAACUUUUAUGUUUUGAAGUUUAAAAAUAUAAGGAAUUUUAUCAUCAAUAAAUUGAUAUUCAAGAUCAUCAAUAGUGUUGAUGUCAUUUGAAGCAGAAGAUGAUGAUAGUUUUAAUAACUAAGUUGCUAGUUCUUUUAGAACAUUGACCUCAGUUUCAAGAGGAUUUUUUGGAGUAGCCUCAUGCCUGUUUGUUAAAACUGACUCUAUUGGCUUAAUAGUUUUUGAAAUAGAUGGUGUCUCAGUUUUAAAAUUUAAUUCAAUUCUUUGAGUUGAGAACACAUAGAUUGAAGAACUACAUUAAUAUAGUUACUUUGAAAUUGAAUAUUUUUUAUAUCUUUAACUACAACUUGAGAUUCAUCAAGUUGUUCUUUAGAUAUCAUUUUGAGAGGAGAAGCAAGAAUUUUAGUAUUUCUAUGUGGAAUUACUAUCUCUUGCAAAGGAGGAUGAGAUGAUUAAAUAGAUUUACCAGAAGAAGUUUUCCAAAUCUUUUUUGGUGUAUCUGUAUUUUGAAUAAUUUUUUCUUUCUUUAAAGUGGAUAUUUUAUUGAAAACUUUGAAAUAUGUCCACUCAAAGAAUCUAAAAUCUUCGGGUAAUUCAAAAGAUUCUUCCCAAAAAGAUUCUCUUUCUUUUUUUGAAGAAGUUUUUCGAAAAAAAUUUCUAAAAAUUUUGACAUCAGUAGAUUGAUUAGUUUUAAAUUCAUUUCUUCUAUUAAUUCUAGAAGAAUAACAUUGCAUUCGUGAUCAAUUCUCUCAUUUUGAGAAUCAAUCUCUUGUUUUGAGAAGGGGGAACCAUAUCAGAUAAAGUUGGAGAAUCAGGUUGUUUUGACUCUUCUUCUUUAUCUUUAUAAUGAGGUUUUGGAUUGUUGGUAUUAAAAUCAACACCUACAAGAGAAGAUGUUGAAAAUCUAGCAGAUUAAAAAGAAAUUCUAAGUCUAUCAUCAGAUCUAGAAGAAUAAGAUCUUUGAAACCGAGAAGAAGAUCCUUUAAAAAUCAUUUUGAUAUUUCCAUCAGAUAAAAUAAGAAUUUGAUUUGGAAUUGUUUGAACAACAACAAGAAUAGAAUUUUGAACAUUUUCGAAAUUCCAUUCAGGCCCUCUAGAUUGAAGAUUCCAAGGAACUCUCUUAGAAAUCAUGGAGUUUGAAUGAAAAUGAUUAAAUUCAACCAAAAGACUUUCAACUUUUGGAGAUGAGAAUAGAGCGCCAAUAUUGAGCUGAGUAUUCAUGAGCUUGUAAUAUAUUUUAUAUAUUACAGCAAAAGCAUUUGAACAAUCAUCAAAAUCAAGAGUUUUGUUUAAAUAUGAAGAUUUAGAGCAUUAAGAAUAGCUCCAUCAUUGAGAUUGAUAGAAAAAUUUGGAUAACAAUUUGAAUAAACGGGACUACUUUCCAGAUUUGAUUGUAGAAUAGAUAAUAAUGAAUUUUCAAAUUUGAGAAGUAUCUUAUCUCUAGGAGUUAAGAGAAUAGGUAUGUCUAAACUAAGUUGAAACAAUGGUUUAAUAGCAAUUUGUACUAAUCCAUCAUGAAGAUAUUUAAAUGUCUUUCUGUAGGAUUCAAUAAAUUCUUUUGAAAAUAAAUUGAUAAAUGCAUUUUGACUCCUAAAAAGUAAAGUUUGUUCAAAAGUUUUGAUGAUAUAAUUUUGAGUAUAAUCAAACUUUCUUAUUUCAUAGAUAGAGUUUUUUUUUCUCUAUUUUUGGAAUAGUUUAGUUAUGCAAUCUUUGUUCAAUUUUAGCAAUUUGUUCAUGACUAUUAAAAUCAUUUGGUAUUAGAGUUGUAAGAGAGUGAGGCAAGGUUAUGGUAAUUUAUCAUUUUAGGCACUGUUCAAUAGGAGAAAUCUAGUUCAAACCUAGUGUUUGCUGAAUAGAGUUGGUCAGCCCGUGUUUUGCCAGUGUAGGCAUUUUUGGGUGGUCCCGUUGUAGGCUUGAUAAGAGUCAGUUUUUUUUAUUGUAUUGUUUUUAUAGGGUUAAAUUAUUAUAUUUUCAUUUUAUUUAAUUAUGUCUUUGAUUUCAAAUUGGUUAAGGAGAUCUAGAAAUAGAUCUGAAAAUAUUUCAAAUGUUUUUCAAAGUGAAUAAGAAUUAAAUCAAGAGAUUGUGUGUGUGUGUGUGUGUGUAUGUUCAUGCAUGCAUGUAUCAAUAUGGCCUCGAAGAGAAUCAAGGCAAGUUCUAGAGAAGCAAAUCCAUGGAAGAAAAUCACUCAUUAAAGAAAAUAGUAAGAUUGAUAUGUAUGUCUCAGUCAUAAGGUUCAAAAUCUCACCAACUUUUAGUCUACAAAAUCUUGUUACUACCAUCCACAAAGAAAAUAACCACGCUAAUUAACUCUAAGUUGGGAGAUUACUUAUUCAAUCAUGUUAUAAAUUCUUCAGAAGCUUGAUUGAAUCUAGCAAAUAGCAUACACAACUAAAAUCGAUUAAAACCACUUUGUUUUCUCCCUCUUAUGUCGAAGUUUUAUCAAAAAGUCAAAAAUAAACACAAAAUAUGAACUGAAAAUUUUAGACUCAACCUAAAUUCCCUCUUCCACAUUUAAAACUUACAUUGCUCCCAAUGUAAGGUAAAAUACAAAGAAAAGGAUAACAUUAACCAAAUAUAUGAAUGUAAAAAGAUAAAAAUAAAAAGCUAACGGAAUGAACUCCCCUUGGGUUGCCUCCCAAGCAGCGCCUUUGUUUAUUGUUUUUGGCUAGACUUAUUGCUUCCUUCUUCAACCGGCAUCAAUUGGAUUUCCAAGGCCCCAUGUUCUCACCUCUUCUAUUUGGAAACCUGCAUAGAAAUAUCUCUUGUUAGAAACUGACAAAACACUAUGCAAACUUUUACCUGACUUUGGAGAAGCAUUAAACGCUGCAAUGGUCUCUGUAAGGCAGUAUUCGGGGGUAACUCCUGAUAUACCUCCUCAAUAUGCUUAUCAGUGGCAACUUUCACUGCAUUUUUUCAUCAGGUUCUAAAAUUUUCUGUUCUAAAUGAUCAAUCACUUUAAUAGAGUAAACAUCAUUAGGGCAUUUUAUGGAAAUAUUGAAUUUAACAAUUCUAUCAUCAAAUUCCAUCAUAAUUGUGCAAUCAUGAAUAUCUAUCUUAGUUUUGGAUGUCCUUAAAAAUGAUCUUCCUAGAAAAAUGGGGUAGUUUGAUCAUUAUUACCAUAUCAAGCACAUAAAAAUCAGCGGGAAAAUCAAAUCAUGAAUGUCUAGGAGUGUAUGGUUGCCUGUAUUGCUGGAAGUUUGGGCAAUUUUUAGGCAUUAGUUGAUUCACUUGUUAAUUCCCAUAGCUAAGGUUGUAAUGAUCCCUCCAUCCUGGGUUAUAAGUGCUUGAGUAAGGAUCAUAAUUCCUUUGUGAUUGUCCAGGAAAGCCAUACAUUUCAUUAACUUGUUCACUGGGGUCUUUUUAAAGAGUUGGGCACAUGUCAGUUGGAUGCCUUGUUACCGAACAGAUUCCACAAGCCUUUGUUAUUUACAUAGUUUCUGCAGCCAUUUGAUGAACAAAAGAAGUUAGACUCGCUAGUUAUUGUUCAAUAGAUGAAACAUUUACCUUAUUAACAGGUCUAUAAAGGGUAUCGAGUCUAGUAACAAAUUGCUGAGAGUUGGCUGCCAUGUUUGCAAUCAAGUUACUCGUGCCCUCGGGAGUUUUGUCCACCGAAGCUCCUUCACUUGCAACAUCAAUCAUACUCCUAUAUGUGGGUAGAAGACCUUCAUAAAAAUAUUGAAUGAGAAGCUGCUCACUAAUUUGAUGGUGGGGACAGCUUGCACAUAGUCACUUGAAACGCUCUCAGUAUUCAUGUAAGGAUUCCCUGCUACCCUGCAUAACACCACAAAUUGCCUUUCGGAUGUUUGCUACACUUGAAGCUGGAAAAUAUUUCUCUAAAAACAACCUCUUCAUCUCCUCUCAUGUUGUGACAUUUCCAGAUGGUAGAUAGUAGAGCCAGUCCUUAGCUGCGUCCUUCAAUGAGAAUGGGAAAGCUCUCAAUUUGAUUUGCUCUUCAGUUACCCCUGUGGGUUGCAUACUCGUGCAUACCACAUGAAAUUCCUUUAAAUGCUUAUGAGGAUCUUCACCUGUAAGACCACGAAAGGUGGGAAAAAGAUGUAUUAGUCCAGACUUCAAUUCAAAAGCAGUGGUAACAUCUAAAGUAGGAAAAGUGAUGCAGAGAGGUUGUUCAUUCAAAUUUGGAGCUGCAAGCUCCUUCAAAUUUUGAUGUCCAGCCAUGUGUCCCUCGAAAUUUCGUUGAAUGCCACUCUUUAACCUGUGCGAAGCUUUUUUUCUAAUUCUGGAUCGCACUGCAAAUCAGUUUGGUUAGAGGAUCGAGUUAUGGGCAUAAAAAAUUAAGGAAGUUAUUUAUUAAAAAAAAGUAAACUAAAAUAAACAAAUUAAACAAAAAAGAAAAGAUUAAAAAAAACUAAGUGAACAAAUAAAAAGCACAAAAAUAAACUAAAUUACUCCUCGACAACGACGCCAAAAUUUGGUGUAUUGUCCCAGGCACCCAAAAAUAAUCAAACCUACACUUCCAAAAAUUGUAUGUAGUAGUGGAAGUAAGGAUCGUUCCCACGAAGAAUGAUUAGUCUAAUUUUAUGCAAUGUUAACAAUAACGAAUGGUUUUGUUUGUGAUGAAAUCAAUUUUAACUAGAAGCAAUGCAAUUUAAUAAAUUAGAUAAAAUCAAUAGAAUGAACCUUGAUUUAAGUUAAUAUCCACUGUAGGAAUUUCAAAUUGAUCAUGGAUAUAUGAAUGAUUAUCAAUUCAUAUUUUUGCAUUAAUCGCUGGAAUUUAUUUUUCCUAUUUCUUUUUAGUUGUAAUUAAUCUGAAAACAAGCAAUCCAAUCAAUCCUUAUUAUCAAAUGACCUAAGAAAAGCACUUAAGAUUUAGUUUAAUAACAGCAUGGGAAACUAGAGAAAUCGAUGAAACUAAACAACUCAAUCACAAGCGGUCAUGUUUAAUCUAGUCAAAUAUCCUCUCUAGAAUUUAAUAACCUCUAAACGAACGAUUAAUAAAGCUCUAGUUACUUCAUAAUGUCAAAGAUAUCAAACAAUUACAUAUUUGUUCUUUAAACAAGCAAUAGAUUGUGGUACAUGAACAUCUAAUAGGCCUCUUAGAAUUAAAAUAUAACAACCAUGAAAUCAUGCAUAGAAAAAUAUUCAAUACAUAAGAUAUGAAUGAAAGCAAUGAAAUUUAUUUAGAUCUCACAGUUUGAAUCAUUCCUAGGCUUCAAUAUCCUUUGACUAAGAGAUGGAGUUUAGCAAUACAUUAAUAAUCCUUAAGUAAAAAGAGAGAGAAGUCUAUGAUGUUCGUUCUUCGCCUCCAAAAAUAUGUAGGAUAUAAGAUUUUUAGGCCAAAAAAAGAGGUUCUCUUCAUUCUGGCAUCUUUAGGUAUAUAUAUGAUAUUAAAAAUAUUUUUUCCAUGUAGAAUUUCAUCAGAAUAAGGAAAUUGGCCCGUCACAAAAAUUUUGACCCGUGCUCGCGCGCCAUAUAUUUCAUUAUGUGUGCGCCACUUUGUUGUUUUGCUCUCAGUACGCAAGAUUGAGGUCCCCCGUGCGCACAGUAUAAAAUAAUUUCAUUUGUUGCACUUUGAUUCCUCAAUUUCAAUCUUCAUUUGUUUUAACUCUUUUUUGAUGUCUUCUUACUCCUUUAGCUUUCAGUUCCAUCUAAUUGAAUUCACACCUUCUCCAAUCAUCGAUAUUAGGUCCAAAUCAACUAUUAGCACUUUGAAUUUUAAUCCCCAAGCUUUGGAUUAAUUUCUUUUUAGCACCUUUUUCAUUUCUUUCUUCCAAAUCCAUCAAUUUGCAUUGAUGCCAACCUCUUUGACUUCUUUAUUCAUCAAAUUGACUUCCAACACUUUUGAAUCUUCAUUUUAUUGCCCGUCUCAUGUAUGGAUUAUUUUCAACUUGGUCAUCAAGCUUUUACUUUCUUCCAUUUUGAUCCUUUUUUGCUAUUUUCUUCCAAACUCCAUAUUUUCCAUCCAUUUACAACCUGAACCAAAAUAUAAGGGUACUGAGUACAUUUAGGCGUUAAUUAAUCACAAAAACGCGAGUAUUAAUGGAUGUAAAAAACGACAUUUUAUGUCUUAUCAAAUUCCCUUAGACUAGGCUUUUGUCCGUGUUUGAGUAAAAUUCAAAUUUACUUUCACAAAAUAUUAAGAUUGCCAUUCCAUCAAUAUAGAACAACCAGACUCAUGAAAACACAUAACAAUUCAUGAACAGACAAUCUCACACAGCUUGUAAUCAAUUAGCAAGUAUUCUCAUAUAAAGUUAGAGUAAACCAAACAUGUAGACUCUCACAGGAUAUAAGCACUCAACUCUCAUGUGUUUAAAGGCUAAGUGUUUCGCUCAAGUUCAUUCCAACGAACAAGAUCUACCAUAUGCUUGCAUGUCUUCUCAUUCUCCACCAAUUAGAUCACAUGCAUUACACAAAUCAUAAGGUUUUUUCACAGGUUGUAACGUGGGUUAGGGUUCAAGUGUGAGAUAUUUGGGUAAGGAACCGUCUUAUGUCUAGUUAUGCCAUUUUCUUUACACAUACUAUCAAAUUCAGUGUUGCAAAAUUCUAGGCCGUUAUCUGUCCUUAAAAAUUUAAUCUUUUUGCUGGUUUGGUUUUCAAUUUGUCUCUUCUAGUUAUUGAAGUUUUGGAAAGUCUUAGAUUUAUCUUUUAAUAAAUAGACCCAAACUUUCCUAGUAUAGUCAUCGAAAUAGAUAGGAAAUAUCUAUUCCCACCCGAUGUGAGAUUACUAGCAAGAUCCCACAGAUCAGAAUGCACAUAUUCAAGCAUGCCUUUAGCCUUAUGAACACUCGAGGAGAACGAUAUUUUAUGAUACUUACCAAGCACACGGUGAUCACAGAAUGACAAAUCUGACACACAGUCAUGACCAACUGCACCUUUUUCAUUAAGUAGCUUAAGUCCCUUAAUACCUACGUGCACAAGUCUAUUAUGCCAUGUGUGUGCGAUCAAUCUUGACAGAAGAGAUAAAGGAGUUCAAACCUCUAAUCACUUUCUCAGUAGUGAUAUAUAAAUGUCAUUUUUCUUAGUCCCUUUAAUAGAAACUAACGCGCCCUUAAUCAUCUUUAGCAUUCCAUUUCAAAUUUUACCAAUGAAGUAAUCUUUUUCAAGUCUCCCUAUUAAAAUCAAAUUCCUAGACAAUUCAGGAAUAUAUCUAGCAUCCUUUAACAUGUACACAAAACCCGUGUCAAAUUUUAUGUUCAUGUCACCAAUUCCAACAAUAGUAUAUGCAAAGUUAUCACACAGCAUAAUAUGCCCAGCAUUAGAUUCAUACAAGUUAUCAAACUAAUUCUUUUCAAAUGUUACAUGAAAAGAAGCACCAGAAUCAAAUUCCACUCAUGCAUGCGAGAAUUAGCAGUAAGAUUUAAUUCAGUAGUGUAUGUAACGGGACUUGUAAUCAUAUAGACCUCACCGUUAUCUAUAUCAGAAGUAGAGGAUAGUACAUUUACCUCAUCUCUCUCCUUACCUUUAACUUACCCUUCUCUUUAUGGCAACCUUUUAUAAAAUACCCCGCGUUCCCACAGCCAUAGCAUUUUCUAAUCUUAGUCCUAGAUUUUGAUCUAGACCUACCCUUGCCCUUCUUUUUCCCUCCAUUACCACUCGACUCGCCACCGCUUUGGUAUCCAUCAUGACUAUUUUGCCUAAACUAAGCUCUACCCCACAUCAUAUGUAACUCAUCGCUCCUCUUAUUGUGUUUUUCAACCCUAAUUUCCAUCUCUUUACUCUUAAGAGAAUCAAUGACAAUUUUAUGUGCCAAUGUAUCCCUACCAUACUUAAUGGCAUUUUUAACUUCCUUAUAAGAAUCAGAAAUAGCAUUGAACAAGAUUAUAGCUUUAUAAGUUUCGGACACAGCUUCAUCACAAUUAACGAGAUCUUGCACCAAUUUGUUAAACACAUCUAAAUUGUCAUCGAGAUCCUUUGAAUGAUCCAUUUUAAAACUGAAAAAACUUUCAAGCAGGUAGAGUUUAUUUAGUGUAGAUUUAAGCAAAUACAAGUCUUUCAACUUUUUUUUAAAGUUCUUUGGUGGUUUUCAGUUUACCCACCUCCCUUAAAACGUUGAUUUUUUUUUGACCCUAUGAAUGUUUUUGAAGCUUACCAAUGGGCUUUGCACUUGGAGAAAACCUUGUCUAGGAGGACUUGGAGUACUGGUAUUGGUGGGGUGAGCAAUGGUAGUAGUAUUGGAAGAAAUGAGAUGAACCAACCACGAACUGUAUGUACUCCAUCUUCACAAACUAAAGGGGCACUAAUGCCCAGUCGAGUAGGGGGGUAGCAUCAAGUUCCUAGGCACGAUGUUUCAAGUGUAAUGAGAAGGGUCAUCGCACGGUAGAUUGCAAAAAAAGUGGUAGAUAUGGUAAGGGGUUAUUCAUUAAUUCUAGAAUUCAGCUGCUGAUGUCGAUCAAGAACCUAUUUACGAUGAUAGAGAGGAGGAAUACGAAGAGGAACAGGUUGCAGGUGAUGAAGGCCCUUUGUUAGUAGUGAGGAGGGCGUGUUUGGCACCUCUUAAGGAUGAAGAAGAUAACUGGCUACGUCACAAUAUCUUCCAGUCGAACUGUACCAUUGGCGGCAAGGUUUGUCAACUUAUCAUUGAUUCAGGCAACUACGAGAACGUGAUUUCUGGUGAGACUAUUAAGAAGUUGGGAAUGGAGAUGGAGAAGCAUCCUAUUUCUUACAAAUUGGCAUGGCUCAAGAAGAGAAGUGAGGUAACUAUUUCUAAGCGUUGCUUAGUCUCAUUUUCUAUCGGCGCGAAGAAUAAGGAUAAAAUUUGGUGUGACGUGAUAACCAUGGAUGCAUGUCAUCUUUUAUUGGGUCGAUCAUGGCAAUUUGAUAGGGAUGUUAUCCACGAUGGAAGGCAAAAUACGUAUAGUUUUGUGUUUAACAAAGUAAAGAUUGUCUUACUCCCUAACAAAAUGGAGGAGUCCCAAAACGCUUCGGGAGGGGGAGAGCAGAUUUUGUUAGCUAGGAGGGACUUUAUGAAUGAGUUAUAGGAGUUUGGAGUGGUGUGUUUGUGUUGUUGGGAAAAGAGGGUUAUGCAGGGAAAAAGGUACCAGCUCGCGUGAACAAAUUAGUUGAGGAAUUUUCUGAUCUAUUUCUAGAUGAACUACCGGAAGGUUUGCCACCAUUGAGAGAAAUACAACAUCAAAUUGACUUGGUUCCUGGUUCUAACAUACCGAACCGACCACAUUAUAGCAUGACCCCCAAGGAGCAUGAGGAGCUUAGGCAUUGGGUAAAGACCUUGUUGUCAAAGGGUCAUAUCAGAGAAAGUCUUAGUCCCUGUGUUGUGCCAACAUUACUUACUCCAAAAAAAGACGAGUCCUGGAGGAUGUGCGUUGACAGUAAGGCUAUCAACAAAAUCACAAUUAGGUACAGAUUUUCUGUUCCUUGACUAGAUGAUUUGUUGGAUCAACUAAGUGGUGCUACUGUGUUUACCAAGUUAGAUUUGAAGAGUGGUUAUUGUCAGAUACGUAUACGUCCAGGAGAUGAGUGGAAAACUUCUUUCAAAACUAGGGAGAGGUUGUAUGAGUGGUUGGUGAUGCCCUUUGGGUUAUUUAAUGCCCCCAGUACCUUUAUACGGGUGAUGAACCAGAUUUUUAGGCCGUUCAUUGGCCGGUGUCUUGUAGUUUAUUUCGACGAUAUAUUGACAUAUAGUGCUAUUGUGGAGUUGCAUCUUCAGCAAUUAAGAGAGGUUUUGGAGGUACUACGCAGGGAGAAGUUUUUCGUAGCCUUAGCCAAAUGUUCUUUCAUGAUGAACUCGAUCUUAUUUCUAGGCUAUGUAGUUUCCAAGGCUGGUCUAUAUGUCGAUGAAUCCAAAGUUGCAACUACUCGAAACUGGCCACUUCCUACCACUAUUCAGGAGGUACGUAGCUUCCAUGGGUUGGUAUCUUUUUACAGGCAUUUUAUUCCAAAUUUUAGUACUGUUACGGUACCACUCAUGGAUUGUAUGAAGGGUGAAAAAUUCAUGUGGACAAAUGAAGCAAUCGAGGCAUUUGAACAAAUUAAGGAGAAGUUAAUAACCGCUUCUAUACUUGUGAUGCCGGAUUUUUCUCAACCUUUUGAGUUAUAUUGUGAUGCCUCUGGAGUUGGCAUUGGGGCCAUUCUCAGUCAAGGGAGCAUGCCCGUGGCUUACUUCAAUGAGAAAUUGAAUGGGUCCAAACUUAAAUAAAGUACCUAUGAUGUGGAAUUUUUUUCUGUUGUUCGGGUCUUGAAGCAUUAGAGCUCUUAUCUAGCAUAUAAUGAGUUCAUCCUCUAUUCAGAUCAUGAGGCAUUGAAUCGCCUUCAUAAUCAGGAUAAACUCUCCACUAGACAUGCACGUUGGGCAUCUUACACUUAAUAAUUUUCUUUCAUCAUUAAACACAAAGAAAACCAAUUUUGUGUGCCCGAAGGGAGUCGACGCCUGAAGAUUAUUCAAGAAUUACACAAUAAAGGUCAUGUGGGGCAUGACAAAACUUUGAAGCUUAUCACGGAGCAAUUUUUCUGGCCUCAUAUGCAGAACGAAGUCGCAAAAUUUGUGGAGGGAUGUAAGAUUUGUCAGGUCUCGAAAGGGAAAGCAACUAAUGCAAGUCUUUAUUUGCCCUUGCCUAUUCCAGACCGACCUUGAACUAGUGUUAGCAUGGAUUUUGUGUUGGGGUUGCCUAGAACACAAUGCGAAUAUGAUUCUAUUUUUGUGGUGGUAGACAGGUUCUCCAAGAUAGCACACUUUGUGGCUUAUAAGAAGACAUCAGAUGCUGUUCAUGUGGCACAACUUUAUUUUCGUGAGAUAUAUCGAUUACAUGGAUUGCCAUCGUCCAUUGCGUCUGACAAAGACACUCAUUUUCUUAGCCACUUCUGGAGAUGUUUGUGGUGUUUGUCUAAUACCAAGCUCGACUUUAGUAGUACCUAUCAUCCUCAAACCAAUGGACAAAUCGAAGUUGUAAACCUUCUUUGGGAGACUUGUUACGAUAUCUGGUGGGUGAUCACUUGAAGUCCUGGGAUCAGAAAUUAUUUCAGGCUGAGUUUGCUUACAACCGGUCUACUAAUAGGAGUACGGGGUUUAGUCCUUUUCAUGUAGUUUAUGGUUAUAACCCUCGCGCACCACUUGAUUUAGCUCCUCUUCCUGAUAUCAGACGAGUUCAUGUCAAGGCUCAAGAUUUAAUAAGUCAAAUUCAGAAAACCCAUGAAGCAACGGUCAAGAACUUGCAAGAUUCUAUUGCCAGGUAUAAGGUGACUGCGGAUGUGAAGAAGCAUUUUGUGGAGUUUGAAGUGGGAGGUUUUUAUGGGCUAUCUGACAAAAGAUCGAUUUUCUACUGCUCGGAAAAUUGGACUGCUGGAAAUAAUUGAAAAGAUCAAUCCUAAUACAUACAGGUUGAAACUUCCAAGCAAUGUGGUGACCAGUGAUGUCUUUAAUGUCAAGCACCUGAUUCCAUAUGUUGGCGAUUCAUCAAUGGAGUACUCGAAUUCGAGGGCGAAUUCUCUCCAACUCGGGGAGGAUGAUGUAGAUUGUGUGGCAGCAACAGGAUGAUUAGUCCAUGUGAUGGCAUGAGAUAUAGAAAUAAACCAAUUUAUUUUACCAAGUUAUUUUAUUAGCUUUUCUUUCUAUUAUUUUUAUUAUUAUGUUGGUCGAGUUUAAGGAAAGUUCCAAUAAGUUAAUUAUUCUGCCAGUCAAUGUUUUGGUAAGUUUUCUACCUAGUUUUUUUUAGUUUUUAUUUAUAUUUGGGGGCAUAUUCUGAAAGGACGUUUUUUGGAGAUAGAAUUAACAUCAAUAAGAAUUUUCUUUCUUAACUCCUGCAUUCCUAGUUCUGGUUCUAGGUUGUGGAAGAGUUGUGAACUUACUGUGAUCACAGAUUUUGCUUCUGUUCCGUUUUCCUGCUGCAUUACUACCCCUACUGGCUCGGUCCAAAUUUAUAGGUUGGGCAAAGCAUGGUUUACUAAGUGAGCCAUAUGAUGAUACAAGAAGUAGGUUUCACCUGAACUGACUUUUAUGAAUGGAGAAAUUAGGGUGGUGGAAAGAGGGGGAAGACAAAAAGCGGCGGUGAUAAUAGAGUAUUAGCUUAACUCAUUGACUUUGGAAUUGGAUUUUGGGCUAUAAACCGAUCUAAUUGUUCCCAUUGAUAUCUUUUGCAUAUUGCAAUUCCGAGUAAAUGGAACUUAACACAAGUUAAUUCCUGUCAAAAAUAUUUGUGCAUAUACUUGAGGCAUUCUCUUUUCCUUGGCUAUUUUCACAUGUCCUUCCAGUUUUUUCAACUCUAAAAUCUUAUUAUUUCAUCAAUUUCAGCAUUAGUCAGACAAUCAUUUUUCAUGGCUUCAUCUUCAACAAAUUUCCCCAUGGGAGAUUUAGUCCAAAAAUAUUAAUGGAGCUUCAAUGUGCUUAGUGGGACAAUUAUCUGGCCCGUUACUUGAACAUUCCAACGUCCACAUGGGUAAAAUUAAACAUAAAAAAGGCAAAAAAAGAAAUGAAAAAAGGAAAAAAAUGGUUUCGUCUUCUGAGCAGCCACGGAAGAAUACAUAUUCUACUUAUUUUUCAUCGUUUUCCCUUUGUCCACUUCUUUCUGUGCUCAUGAGACGAGUAUUGAGGAAGAUGAAGAUGGAGAGCGUGAUGGUAAAGCGGGAUUGAAGGUGAGAUCAGAAUAUAAGUAGAUGUGCAUUGUUGAGACAGCAAUCUUUCUGCUCACACAUGAUCACCUGUCAAAGUACUUGGUUUCUCUACUGCGAUGCAGUGAUGGAAAUGAUAGAAAUCAUCCACUGCCACCUAGAAACAGAAGUAUUUCUUUUUCCUAUGCUAUUUUCACCGUUUCUUCCAAUAUUUUUCUACAUUUCAACUCUAAAAUCAGAUUGAUCACCGGUUCAGCCCGAGUCAAAGAAAUAACUACAAGUAGCUUCAUCUUCAUCAACCUUUCCCCAAAAAUUAUACAAGUUUUGGACUGAAAUCUCAUUACAUGAUUUGAGAGCAUGUUUACAUUAAACAUGCACCAAAGGUGCACCUAAUGUGCACCUAACAUGCACUUGAUGUUCACAUCUCGUAGAAUCCAAUAUUCGUGUCAAAAUAUUUGUGUCAAUAUUUUUGUGCAUAUGCUAUAGGAGUUCCCUCUCCUUUGCUAUUGUCACCAACACUAAAAUCAGAUUGAUUUUAUUAAUUUUAGCCCACGUUAAAGAAUCCCUACUCAUGUCUUCAUCUUCAAUUUUCCCCAUGUUUAUAUACAUUGUUCGAAAAAAAAUUUGCCAAAAGAGAUUCUGUCCAAACGUACUAACAGAUGUUCUACAAAAUCAAUAAUUGGACUUCUCUACUGCGGACUGAUCAAUUAUUUGCCCCGUUGUUAACACGACACUCAAAGUGAUUAUUUUUGACAUAUUACUAGGAAAACCUCCCUAUCCUUUGGAUCUAUUGCGGAAUAUUAUCUAUCUUCUCAAAUUUACUGAAAACGCCCAUAUAUGACUUCUUAGGUACGAAAGACUCCCUUUUCUCAUUUUCUCAAUAAAGCCUCCCGAAUAACAAACAUAUCCUCCUAUUUAUACAAAAAAUAAAAAAUAAAGAACGAAUUUCCACUACAAGAAAAAUGGCAUUUUGCAACAUGUAAAAGGCAACUUUCAUUAAUUGCAUGUUGCUAGAAGGGGCCUAUCGUAACAUUUAGCAAGUGUAUGUUGCUAUUGAUUCAUUAAAUUGAGUUUUGACAACUUUUUUUUUUAAUGAAUGUUGCUAAUACAACCUUUUGCAAUGUUUGGGGUCCAUUCGUUUUAUUAUUAUUAUUAUUUUUUUUUUUUUGCAACAUGCAAUUUUUUUUUUUUUUUGCAACAUGCAAUUUUUUUUUUUUUUUGCAACAUGCAAUUUUUUUUUUUUUUUGCAACGUGCAUUUAAUGCUUUAGCAACGUGCAAUGCAUGUCACCAUUAAUUAGCUUAAGCAACAAGCAAUGCGCAUCACCAUUAGGUGUUUUAGCAUUGCGCAUUUAAAAGUUGUCAUUAAUGUUUUAGCAACAUGCACUGUGCGUUGCUGUUAAACGUUUUAAUAACACACAUAUGAAUGUUGUCAUUAAUCUUUUCGCAACGUUUAUUGCACGUUGUCGUUAAAUAUUUUAGCAACACACGUUUGAGCGUUACCAUUAAUCUUUUAACAACGUGCAUUACACAUUGCCAUUAUUUAUCAUAGCAAUUUAACCAGUCUAACCCAAAAUAAAGUGAAUCUAGCCCAUCAAAAGAUCCAACUCACAAAAAAAUUUAAUUUACAAAAAGUAGAAAUCCUAAACUGAUUUUUCACUACUUCCUUCCUCCAUUGAGGCCUCUCCAACAAAAUCAAAAUCAUUUAAACACCAAAAUCCUUCUCUCUCACAAGAAAAGUGGCACAAAUCUUUGUAUGUUGAUAAUAACAAGCCACCAGAUUUUUUUCUUAACUGAUUUUCCAAUGAAUUAUUCCGUUGAAAACUAGAUAAAAGAGUGAUUCUCUAUUCAAUUGUAUAGUGUGUGUGUGUGUGUGUGUGUAUAGUCUUCCAUACACUUCCUCUUUAACACUAAUUUUCACUUGCUUUCUCGCCACCUCCUUCGCAGACCACCAUCAAAUUGAAGUAGGCCGAGACGUCGGAAGCAGAAGAAGAACAAUAAGUCAUCAUAAGCCUUAGCCACUGGAGAUGAUAGCGACACUGCUUUUGAGGAUGGGUGUUUUUUAAAAAACCAGAAACACUUCUUGAUUUCUUUCAAAUCAUAUCUAAAUCCCUCUUCAUCUAUGUAAUCCACUAUUGAAAUGGACAGCUUAGCAGUAAACCGCUUCAUGGAACUAAAAGAAGAAGAAACUCAUAAGAAACUAGGAGAUGGAGCAAAAGGGACAGCAUGAACAGGAUGAAAUGACGGUGAAAUACCUGAUGAAGAAUACAUGGAGGCUGAUUUUGAUUCUGAAGCUAGGGCUAAACUCUUCUGACUCCAAAGUCAAGGUAUGUUUCUAGGUUUAUGUGUGUGCAUGUGUGUGUGUUGUUAUGUUUAUCUUUGUAUAAAUAGGUGUGAUAGCAUUUGAUUUUAUUUGGGGUUUGAAUUGUAGGAAUUGGAAGAUAUGAAGAAGAGAUUGCAGGAGAUUGAGGAAGAAGCAGGGACAAUGCGAGGUAUGUAGGCCACGGUGGAGAAACAGACUGUCAAGGCUCAAGGUCUUUUUAUUACUCACUCUAAGUGCUUGUUCCUAUAUAUGUUUGAUGUCAUAUAUAGAUGUAUUUUAAAAAUUCUUGACUUUGUCUAAGUUUACUUUUAUAACUAAAUUGCCCAUGAUGGGUUGAUUUCGUAAUCUUUGUAGAUUCCAGUGGUUUAAGACUUUUAGAUGAGUAGGAAACAUUCUACUUUUUAUCUUAGUGGCUACAACAUUAGUGAAUAUGGACUUAUUUAAUAGAUACCUCACAAGAGGCUAUAGGAUAAUAUUUCAGUUGUAAAUUCAUUUUCCUAAUGAAAUUGACUCCUUUGACAGAUUUUGGAUUGUUGAGAAGUAAAAAAUUUAAUGCAUCAUUAAAGAUUUUGAUAUAAGGAAAGAUAAUUGUGAGAAUCUACAAUAGGGGACCAUUUAAGGGGAAGUGGAGUACUAAAGUUCCUAAGUUAGCAAUGAUACAUCUUAAAAAGUACUACGUUAUUUAAACUAAGAGCCUUAUGAGUUUAGGAUUGCUUGAGAACUACAUGAAAAGCCACGAUAUGCUCUUGAGGUAGGCGUUAUACUUGUUACCAAAAGUCGGUAGUGCAUUGAUGAAUAUGCUCUUAAUUGUCAUUGACCUUACCAAGUAAAAUUUUCAAUUUAUGAAGUAACGUUAAAUUUUUUCACUUUCUCAUUUUUAUUUGAAAAUUCUACCAUUCUUUUUAACUAUUUUUCCUUAGGUUUUCCAUGUAUUGCAAAUUGUAGAAAACACAAUUGUUUUAAAGGAUUGAUUUGUGUCUUCUCUUGACUAUCAAUUAUUUUAUUGUGUUUUAUGCCUUUUGACAUUGCAAUUUUUCUUGUUUCUUGUUGCUAAAUAUCAUUGAAAUUUGAGAUUGAUGAUUGUUCCUUUGCUGUCUAUGGGGUUCAUUUUGCAUCUGUUUGCUUUCUGUAAGAAUUCUAUUGUUCCCUAAAAUCUUUAGUUUUAAUCGUUGAUAUCGUUUGUCUAACUGUGGGGUACAUGAAUUUAGGAAUUAUUAUUUGAAUUUAAAAUCAAAGCUGUAAUUUUUUAUGUUAUUUAAAGCUACAGUCUUCACAAUGAAAGAUCCCUAUUUGCAACCUUUGCGUUACUGAUUACAAUUUUACUUUGGUUAUAAUAGAAUGAUAUAAUUCAAGUCAGGCUUUUCACAUUAUCUUCAUCUGUUUUUUCUUUUUUUCUCCAAUGAUUGCUUAAAUAGGCGGAUCUUUGAAUCUACAAGAUAGGAGAGUCCUUGAUUUUUAAUUUUUUUUUUUUUUUUUGUAAAGAUGGUCAUAUACAGGAUUUCCUCGUGCUCAAUUAUUGGCAAAUGCACAAGCAGCAAUUCAAAGGAAAAGUAAGGUAAAUUCUUGAAUUUUCUACCAUUUUUCUUGAAAUGCAGGAAGGUGACGCUAUUGAGCUCCAGAAGAAAGUAAUGUGGAUUGCCUGCUAGAUGUUCGUAAUUUCUUUUCUCUCUCUUUUAUUUUUAAGAUGAGCGUAAGAGAAUGUUUGCACUUAUUUCUAUAGUUUGUUCUAUAUUUUAAGUGUAUAGAUUCAAAUUUGUAAUGAAAUUUUUAUUUUUUCGCGAUUCAAAUUUUUUUCACAAGGUGUAAAUCUUUAAUUUUCUAGUUUAAUUUCAUAAAUUCCUUUAAAAAGUAUAAAAAAAAAUGUAAAAUGAUCUACGACAAUGAUAAAAAAUAUUUUAGAAAAAGAAUAAAAGCAAAGACAACGUGCAAAAAAUGCUGUAAAAUAUAUAAGACAAAAACAAAGGCAACGAUCAAUGGAUGUUGUGAAAACUUUAAAGGCAAUGGUAAGUAAAUAAUGCCAAAAGUAUAAAGGCAACAAUCAAUGGAUGUUGCCAAAACUGCAAAGGCAACAGUUAGAGAAUGCUGCAAAAACAUGUAAAUGCAACAUAUAAAAAACGUUGCAAAAGGUUAAAUGCAACGUUCAUUGAGCCUUUUGCAACGGUUAAUGAACGUUGCAAAAAAGCCUUUCACAAUGGUCUUUGAACAUUGUUGUAUCCUUUAACUCUACGACAAUAUCGAAGCCUGCAACGCACGCGUAAACAUUGCAAAAGGUCUUUCGAAAAUUUUUUGACCGUUGCAAAAGAGAGUUUUUGGUGUGGUGUUCAAUUGUAGUCAUAAUUUUUUUUAAAAAAAAGUAUAAACGAGUCCCAAAUAAAUAAUUAAAAAAAAAGACUCUCUUUCUUUCCCACCUACCCUAUAUUCCUACCACCACCUUUCUCUAGUCAUUUUUCCAAAUAUAAAUACUUGCUAAGGUUUGUUAGCCCCCAUGUCUUAAUCCUACACAUCUUAGAGAGAAAUUAGAAAGAAAAGAAAAAGACUGCAAAGAGUGAAUGAAAGUGGGACUGAAUAAGAAUUAUGGCGGACAACAUUGGAGUGGUGGCACAUCUUCAGAGUUGGAUUCCAAAAGAUGAUCUAUUGCUUAAAACUGUUUGAUAUACAACCCUUUUAAGCACCAUGUGAUUUUGUUCAAGAUUUUUUUCUUCUUCUUGGUAGUACCAGAAAUUCCUAGAGGCAUACUAUCAGAAAAACUUCCUUGACCAAUUGGGUAGAUCAAGAAAACAGCGAUAGCAGCUGCAACGGGAGCUGAAUAUGCAACAACAAUCUAAGGUUGCAUACCCAAACGAAAACUAAGCUUCCACUCACGACCCAUGUAACAAGGUAUACCAAGUAAGAGGGAAGUUAUGAGCAUUACGUUCAUGCAUGAGAUGUUCACACCAAAGAUGUACCUAAUGUGCACCUGACGUGUACUUGAUGUUCAUAACUUAUCAAAUCUAAUAUCUUUGCAUCAAGUGAGUUCUUGUCAAAAUAUUUGUGUCAAUAUUUUUGUGCAUAUACUAGAGGCACUCCCUUUUCCUUUGCUAUUUUCACCAACACUAAACUUAGAUUGAUUUCAUCAAAUUUAGCAUGCAUCAAAGAAUCCCUAUUGUUAGGUUUUAUAUUGUAAUUGGCGAUUCUGUGAACAUAAGGGACUUAAUUGAACAUGUUGUAAAAGUUGGGGACUUGAGUUGCAAUUUGUAUAGAUGGUUUAGGCUAGGUUGAAUUUGGAACAAGGUAGAAUACUCAUUGAAUUUUCACUAGCUGGUCACCAAGUUGUUGCUCGAGCGGAGGAAGCAGAACCAUCGUCACCCGUUUGUCGUCCCAGCGUCAUUGGAGCGAAGAAGCUGUUGCUUGUUUCUAUUUAAGGUGUAGCUCAAGCGAUAGUGAUAUGUGGCCAAACCCUAUGUUGCGAUUUGAAGAAUUUUACAUUGCCCAUGAGACCUGUUUGUCCCCAAGAAUAAAUAUAGAACUCAUGGACGUGAUAAUGAGAGGUUGCUACAUUGUGCUAACUUUGAAUACACUUUA